This 46140-nucleotide long non-coding RNA is filed under the name Citrus maxima (pomelo). RNAcentral's name for it is "long non-coding RNA (CMAX_LNC001517)". Lineage: Eukaryota; Viridiplantae; Streptophyta; Magnoliopsida; Sapindales; Rutaceae. The record is from RNAcentral.
AAAUAGUCAUACAUAGUUGGUUAGGCCUCCAGUCCAUUAACUUAAUAAUGAAUUUUAUGAAAAUUGAUUAUCUCAUUGGAAUUACAUAGAUAUUGGAAAACAUUACUCCAGCCCCACCAUCCCAACCAUUUACUUAGUUCAUCAGUAAAAGCUGGAUUUUCCAUUUGUUCUUGAGAUUCAAAUUAAGGCAGCAAGUUGCUCAUUCAAUAUUAUCUAUGUAAUCCUGUAAAAGUGAAGGGCGUUUAGAUGUGGAAAAACCUUACUCCUGCCGCAACACCUCAAACAGAUUGUGAUCAGACAAGACUUAGUUCAUCAUUAGCGGUAGUUGGAGCUUCCAUUUGUUCUAGAGAUUCAAAGGCAGCAAGCUGCUUCCUCAGUGCUACUAAUUCUUCCCCGGCAUUGCAUAUGUAGCCUGAGGCUUGUCUGCCAGACAAAGUUGCUCCUUCCAUACUAUCUAUGUAAUCCUGUGAGAGUGAAACCAUUUAGAAGACAUAUCUCUUUUUUUUUUUCAAUAUUUGGAAUGAAACAAUUAUAUACAGUUACCUGUUUUGUAUAUGAGCUGGCGAGGAAGAAGUUCUUCACUGGUAUCUUUUGAUCAGGUCUGAAGGGGUCUUUACCAGGUCCCUCACCUCACAAAGAUUGCCGGAUUUUGACGACAGAUAACCAAAUAACUUCUAAACCUUGGGAUGAUGGAAAUAGAGCUCAAACCUAAUAAAAGGAACCGUGAAUGGAUAGUAUGGACUCAUGUAUAUUAUCCAGAAAGUUGCAUGACCUUUUUUGGUACUCAGGUCACUAAAAAAUGUGAGAUAAACAUCUAGGAUAAGAAAAGCAAAAAAGCAUAACCUAAUACGUAUUAUAUGAAUUGAAGGUGUCACUGAACGCUACCAACCUGCUUUGCCACUCUCCUUCUGAUUUCAUCAUUUGGUAAGGGCAUAUAAGGAUCUCCAGGCGUCAAAAUGCAUCUGAAAUAUAAUAUGGCUAUAGUAAGUAACACAGAAUACAAAGACACUUAGCAAAAGGAAGUCAAUCAGAUUCCAUGCACAAAAAAUAACUAAUAAUGACGAGGAUAAGAAAUUUUUCUUGCUGGAGCAACGAACCUUGCCCUUCUCUGUAGUAGUCUUCUGGUGAAGUGAGUGCUAGAUCUGCAAAGCAAGAUAAAUCUGCAUCUGGAGUAUAUGAAAGGUUAUCUAACCCCACAGCUUGCCUCAAUUGUCUACAUGUUCAAAACAAGGAUCUGUUAAAAAAUGGAAAUUUCUUCAAUGCAUUAGUAAAGGGAAGUGAAGUGAAAGCUGAUUUCUUAGGCCUUCACAGAGCAUCAUGUGUUUGAAUUCCGGUAACCUCACAAAAAAUUAGAGCAUCACCUUGACCGUUCUAGGUCUUGCAACUCAGUAACCCAACCAUUGCAUCUAAGCUGCACUGUGACAACAGGAACUCCAACUAGCUCAUAAAUAUUGUUGAAAAUUUUCAUUUCCCUCCACGAUGAUGGAGGCAAACUUUUAAUUCCAGGGACAUCACAUGCAGCCAUUAAAUAAGAAGUUGAAUAAAGAAAAAUCGUUCAACUAAAUGAUUCAGGAGUUAAAAAAAAAAAUGUAGAAGUAGAAAUAAAUAACGAAGAUUUAACCAUAAACCUGCAACAUAUGCAUCAGCUUGCACAACCUUCUUGUCAGUGGCCUGAAAUAGAAUGAGAAAUUGAAAGACAGUAAGCAUUAAAGAAUAAACUCAAAGAAGCUGCUUCUAACAGAUGAUAUAAACAGUAAAUUUACAAAUGUCAGAUCAUUGCAUUAGCUCUAUGCCUCCAUCAGAGGGAAUAUUAAUAGAUGCAUAAAAAAAUAAUUAGAGCCACAUGUUAAACAAUUUACCUUAGAAGUAGCAAGUGCUUUGACAAAUUUUUCCCCGUUAGCAGAUUUAUCAUAAAGUAUCUCUCUGCAUCCCCACCUAAGAUGGAACCUGUUCUCACAAGAACAGAUCCCAAGGUUGGGAAAAUCAGUUCAUCAUAGGAGAAAACAAAGAAGAUUAACAAAUCACUACAAUGGUGUGAACCCGUAAAUACAAACGUACCUGCCCCCUUUAUCUGUGAUAUAUUUUCUUAUGGGCCCACUCAAAUAAACAUCCGGAGAACCCUUGAGCAUCAGCAAUAGGGAAGCCUCGGUCUUAGUCGCAAACAGUGCAAAUAUAGUGAGCAUACAACGAGCACUGAUGUUAUCACAAUCAAUAAACCCAAGGGCAUACGCAACAGGAUCCCACAUUCUUUGGAACCCUUGGACAAAAACCAAUCAGAGAAGCUUAUCUGUAAGAAGAAAUGAAGUUUUAGGUAAAAUGACAAUCUGUAAGAACAGGGAUUGAAAUUCAACAAACAAGAAAAUAUGAUGUCAUUCUUACACUAUCCAAAUCUCAUAUGUCCUUCAAGGCUCCAUCAGGAUCAACAAGUGCCUUUACAACAGCACUCAGAGCAAGAGCAAGAGCAUUUCUUGCUUUAUCAUAAGUCUGCACUUGAGCAAUUUAUGAGGCAAAGUACAUCAAAAGAGAAUCCAAAAGAGGCAAGAAGCUUCAACAUGAAAAAAGGAGUACUGCCUCAUCAUACUGCUUUGCAAUCACAGUGCAAAAGAUAACAUCAACAAAAUCAAAUUCUAGCAUAAAUCCAUAUGCACUACCUUAAGCUGAUUUGUAGACAAAAGACCCGUUUGGGGCAGCUGCGCGGUUGCAGCGCAGCUGUCCCAAACGGGUCCAAUCAGAAACCCAAAAUCAAGUUCUGGAGUUGAAAAUCAAAAUCAUGAACCAAAUCAGAGUUAUUAUUGAAUUAGACAAUCCAUAAACCAAUAGAAGGUAAAACAAAAAGGAAUAAAAAUUCUUCUAAAUUCUUUCACCAUCAACAAAAUCAGUAAAACACAUACUAAUUCAAAAUGACAUAAAGUUUGUGAAUUGAAAUAAUGCCAACUCCUAAGAAAAAUUAUGACUGCUGAUAUUUUUUCCGAAAUGCUGAUAAAAGCUUCUGCUAUUUACUUUGAAAAAAUAGAGGUUAGAAGCCAAUUUACUUGAAAUUUUGAGUUUAGGCAAGAGGAUGAAUGGCAAAAGUGAAACAAUUUAGGGAAAAAUGUACUUCAGAGGCCAAUGAAAGCAUUCAGAAGAUUGAAAUCUAAAUAAGCAAAACCCCGUGGCCUUGAUCCAACAAAUCCACUGCUGUUGACAUGCCUGCAAGCCCAGCUCCAAUAAUAGCCACUUUCAGCUUUGGUCCUCUAUAAUGUUCCGGUUCUGGUAGAAACAAACCCUUGGGAGCUGCCAAGUAUACCAUCCAAUUAUCCACAGCGAUAAUGGAAAUAUAUAUGUGUUUAAAGGUACUAAAUUCCUAAACAUGAAAUGUAUCCAAAGAGAGACACAAAGCAGAAUUGUGAAACCCAAUAAAUUUUAAGAAUACAAAAUACUCGGUCUGUUCCUCAAUUCCUUUAAUAAAAUUUCCACUAGAGGCUCCGGAAGCCACUCAAUAACACUCCAAAGCCAGAUUUUAAACGUUCUCUUUAUCUUUAACUACAAUCCACAAACAAUUCUGCCACAAAUUCAAUUCAAAAUUGUUCAAGUGCACCGCCACUUCUCCAUCAAUUCCCUCAAAAAUUCAUAAUUGGCAAACACUACAAACCAAAAAGAGCUUCCAGCAAUAAACGCAUAAAAAUCCACCAAGCAACAUAAAACAAAAUACCCAGAAACCAGAAAAGCCAAAAGAUCAAUGCUUGGCAAACAAGCCAAUCAAAUAAAACAAAAAGAAGAGAAAUUUACCAUUAACGCUCAUAUCAGAAACAUUAGUGUCCAAAGAAGCCCGUACACGGAAUCUUGGAUCCUUCACUUGAACCCGAGACCAUGUAACGCCAGUAACUGAAGUUGCAGGAAACAGAACUGAAGAACCCAUAUUGCAAAUCCUGAGCUGAAAUCAAAGAAAUUCAAUUGGAACUCAAUUCAGCUCAACCGAGCGGAGCUCUCUUUUGCUUCAAUAACAAAGUGUUUUUCUUUCAUAUCAACAAAGAUUUGUCAACAUCAACAAAAUUUAACUAAGAAACUAAAAAUAAUGCGGUAUCUUUGAGUUUAAGAAUCUAACAAAGAUUUGUCGACAUCAGGGAACUGUUUCGGAGAGGUUGGCCAAGUGCAUUUUUGUUUUUUUCUUGUUUUGCCCUUUUCAUUAAUGCACAACAUUAGUCCACGUGAAGAGCACAAAAUGCUGGUGGCUUUGUCACUAACGAUAAUGGAUGGAGUGUCCAAAGCAACCAACUAAAUUUUAAAGAGAGGGAAUGAUAAGUAAUAUCUUAAUGGGGUGAUUAAUUAAUUUAUUAUCAAGCAAUUGUAUUUAUUUAUUUAAAAGAUAUCCUUAUCUUUGUACAAGGUUUGAGGAAAGACGACGAUGUUGUGUUGUCACAUAUUUUUACGUUUCUCCAUAAUUCACUGCAACAUCAACUGGGCCACCACCUCUUGCCUCUCCCGGUUCCCCUCAAUUUUCUUAUUCAAUGUCCACCGUUGAUUGUACAUUUAUUGAAAUUCUGUGGUUAUUGUUUUUUUGCAUACAUUUAAUUCCACACGGUCUAUGAAUAGAGCAGGUGCAUCGUAGUUGUGGCCUUAACUGUUAUUGGUAACUCAAUAGCUAAUUCUAAUGUUUCAUCAAGCAGUUUAGAGAUAACCUCUCUCGCUGAACUCCCCGGAGUAACGCAAUCCAGUUUUCCAGUGCAAUCAUCAGACAGUUGAACAGCUUCUGAAUUCCCUUUGCUUUUCUUGUUUUCUUUUCCAUGUAAAGGGAGCUCAGGCUUCAAUAUAUCUGGGGAUUGAGUACUAAUGAUAAAGACAACAUACGAUAGAGGACACAAAUUGUUAUUAAAGAAUGACGCACUUUUCAACUGAGUACAGUAAAGCAAGAAUGGGUAAUUAGUUUUACCUGCAACGUGAAAAUCUAGACUCCCGACGGUAACCGAUCUUUGGUGAAGCAAAUAAAGAAGAAGGCGAAGUAAAAUUCACUGAGUUGAAUGAGCAAUCAUUACGUAUGGACUUGAUUUGUUCAAUGGGUGAAAGACUGCUGAUAUAAUUAAAGACUGGAGAAUCCUGCACGUUGACAAGCAUCAUUUUUAAUAUAACAUAGAGUCUUAAAAACCUAGUCAGUGGCAAAUGAUCACGACAAGCAAACUGAAGUACAAACAGCAGAGCUCAACAAAUCAUUAAGAGAAAAUAAGACCAUUAACCAAGCAGAUAAAAGAAACGCAAAAUAACCCAUCUCAAAUCACCGCAUGCACAAUUUAAGGGGGUUGUGACAUGGGUUUAAGCAUGAUUUAACAAGUGCCACCAGUGAAUUCUCAGAGAUUGAAUUUUCAUACACAUGCAAAUUUCCAAGUCCAACGAAUUGUUGUCUUUCUGAAGAUAUUAACGUUGCAUAGCAUGCUAUAAAUAAAUCAUAUUAUUAGGGCCUUUCUUUGCUGUACACAACAUAUGUACAGAGGAACAAAUCCAUGAGCUGAAAUCAUCAUAUUCCAAAAUAUUCUACCCAAUCAACACUACAAAACCCUAACGCUAAACAGAAUUGGAGCAAUGUACGAAAGCUAUUUGUCACACAAAGCACUGGUACCUCAGAACCCAAUUUUCAAAAAAGCAACAAAAAUGAAAAAUAGCAAGUGCCCAGAUGCAAAAUCAGGAAAAAAAUGCUCAAAUCCAAACUACAACCCCAUAAGCUGAGAUUGACCUCAAACUUGGAAACGGAAGCGACAGUGAUCUGUUUCUUGUCUGAAGUGUCCAUUUCUCUCGCUCCGCCACAAAGCCUCUUCACUCUGAAGCUGAAACUCACCACGCACUUGCAAAACGAAAGCAUUUGAUUGAUUGAGAGGCGGGAAGGCGGGAAAACGAGAGAAAUUUGCUUUUGUUUUUUCUUCGUUUGGUCAUACAUCUGCAGGCCCCAGGUUGACAAGCGUUAUUACUACUACUUGCAUUAUUUGAAGGACGCGUGUCAUGCAACGAUGAUGGAAAAAGUGGUGCAAAACUUCAAUGGUCACGAAAUGACGAUAAAACAAAAAUAUAUGGUUAAUUUUUCACUUAACAUUGGAAUAUCAUAUAAUUUUAUGGUCAUUUUCUCGCUGUUACGCCACAUUCUUUUGAUAAAAUAAUAUGGUUAAACUUUUCUAUAAUCAUGAUAUUAGAACCCAAUUAACUUUAUUUCUAUAAAGUGGUUAUAGCUUAAUAAAGGUAAAAUUGUAAAAAAUAUUAUUUUGACUUAAUUAUCUUUAGUGCAAGUGAUAUAAAAAAUAAAUAUAUGAUAAUUAAUUAAUAAAUUAUGUCAAAUAUAAUAUAUGGACAAUGAUAAAAAAGAUAGACAUAAUUUCAAAAAACUAAUAUAUAUGUUUUUGUAGUGCUGGGAUUAUACAAAGUUAUCUUAAAAGUGUAAAGAGUAAAGUAUUAGAUUGGAUUGAAUUAUAUAUAGUGCUGACUUAUGUUUGGUAUGAUAUUGUAUUAGAUUAUGUUAAAUUAAAUUUACAUGAAAUUAAAUAGUAUUUACAUUAAUAUUUGAAUUUAAAUAUCAACUAUUUAUAGAUAUUUAACAAUAAAUAUUAUAAUUAAUUAAAAACAGCACUAAUAAGGGGUGUGUGUGUGUGUGUGUAUUCAUUUAGUUAUUGGGUAGUCAUAAUUAUAAUAAAGAAAUAUAAACUAUUUAAAUUAUAGGUUAUUUCAAAGAGUAAUGAGAGAUAUCAUUUCAUUAAAUAAAAUAAAUAAAACUAUUCAAAUAAUAAAUUAAUUAAUAAAUUUUAAGUAAAUCAUGAAUAAAAAAGAAAUUACUUAAUUAAAAACAAUAAAUAAAUAAAUAAUUUUUAAGUUAUAAAUAAAAUUGUGUAAUAAAUUAUGGAAGAUAUUAUAAAUACACAAAUAUUUUUUUCACAUUAUCUAGUCCCAACUAAACCCACAUAAAAAUUAGAAUUAGCAAUCCCAUGAAUUUAGGAUUAAAAUUUGAAUUUAGUCCAUUAAUCCAAUCCAAGUGAGCAUGCCAAACAUAGUAUUAAUAUUUUAUCCCAAUAAUAAGUCCAAUCCUACACUAAAUCCUACCUCCCAAACAUAACCUUAAGAAUCUAUUGACAUGUGUCAUUAAUGAAAUUAAAUGGCUAAAAUUUUGUUUUAAUUAAUUUUUACCUAAAUAGACAUCAAAACUCAUGUGUGACUCUUGUUAAUCUUUUUCUUACAAUUUCUUUUCCUCUUAAUUCUUUAUAUUUUGACACCGAUUUCUAGCAAAUUAUUAAAAAAAAGAAAAGGAGCACAAAUUGGAGAAAAGUGAUUGACAACAAGGUUUGCAUCUUAAUUUCAAAAUUUUCCUUUCUUUGUUGUUGUUUUUUUUUUUUUUGGGUUCUAUAAUUGUUGUUUUCACUCUCACUUACAAUUCAAUGAACUAAAUUAGUAUUGCUACUUAUAAACUGCUAUUACCGGGCAUAUAAUUUUAUUGCUACAAUUUUACUGCUGUUUAGCUAUUUUUCUGAGUUUUUAGUUGUUGUUCUAUUGUCUCUUUGGGGUUUGCAACUGAUGUUUGCUGUUUUUCUAUGAAACAAUUAAAUUCUUUUGCUGCUACAUUUUUUGUUGUUCUAUUAUGGCCGGGACGUAUGUGAAAGGGAAAGAAUCUACCCAAAAAAAAAAAUGACAAAGAGUCACAUGUGAGUUUAGAUGUAUUUUUAAGUAAAAAUUAAUUAAAACAAAAUCUUGGCCCAUUAAAUAACUUAAUAUAAUCAAUUUGUUCUUAAUAACUUAAUAUUAUUUAAUCUAUAGAAGCAAGAUCCUCGAAGACAAAACCUAUAAAUAAUUUAAUAUAAUGAAUUGAUUCUUAAUCUACUCCAAAUUGAGACUACAAUUUUUUACUUAAAAAUUGGCUAGCUAACUUUACCUUGAUGGGCUGACUAUCGCCCAUACAUAUUUCUUCAAAUUUAUUAAUAUUUUUGUGCAUAGCAAUUAGGGUUACGUGACAACGAAUUCUCCUUUUAGUAUAUAAAAAGUAUACUCACAAGUAGUGUAGUGUUCCCCUCCUAAAGGGCAUAGCUCACUGACUUUUAGUCUCUUUCUUCAGUUGACGACUCCAGUUAGACUCUUCAAUGAGAUUAAAGAUUGAAUAUAUCAAAAAUAUUAGCAAUAUUUGUGCUUAUAUUUAACAAAACUAGAGUAAUAUAUUGAUUAAUCUACAUAAUUUUAGGCGGGUUCUUAGGUAAUGUUACAAUUACAUAGAUUAUUUUCACAGUAUAAGCCAAAUCUUAAGAAUUAAUUACUUGAAUAAAAGGAAUAAAGGAUGAUCGAUAAAAGUAAAACAAAGAAAAUAAAUUAUGCCGUUAAAUUGGGAUAUUUGGCUGCCUUAAUCGCUAGAGAUGCUUCUCCAAAACCCGCGUGUAAACAAAACACAUAUUUUUAACAUAACAAUAGCCCAAGCACAUAAACAAGAGUGAAAGCCGAGGAAUCAAUUUCAUUACUGUUCACUAGUAUUUUCAAUUUCAUUAUUUCAUUAACUGUCAUUGAUAAAAAAAAAAAAAAAAACUCAAUUUGAGAUGUUAUACAUUACUUUUCAUUACUUCCCAUUUCAAACAUAUUUAUCAUAUAUAGUCUUAGUAGCUUGUAACCCUUUCUGGUAAGGGUAAAAUAUUUCUUACCCCUUUGAUUUCUGAGAUUGUCCUCACAAUAAUGAUGCUGGCCCCAAUUUCUAAAACUACUAUCUCUAUGAGUAAAUUCCUUAUAAAUUUUCUUUUAAUUGAAAAUAUUUAAACAAUUGAAGAUAAAUUAAUUUAUUUUUUUAUUCGAAUGAAAAUUCAAUUAAACACUUAAAUAAGCUAUUCCUUUAACAAUUCUUUUCACACCCAUCAUGUUUCGUAAUUUAUAUUUAUAUUUAUAUUUUAAAAUUUAAUUGAAAAUACUUUUUGAGAAACUUUUAAGAAUUAAGAAUCAUGGAGAAAAAAAUGAUUUAAUAUGAAGAAAAUAGUUUAAAAUCUUAAGAUUUGUAUGUUUUAUAAAUAAAAACUUGAAAAAAUACUCUUUCCGAGAAAAGAUUUAAUCAGAAAAUGAUUAAUUUUUAAUUUAUGAAUUAAUAUUUUAUAAAUUAAACUAGGGGUAUUUUAAGGAAUAUAAUUAAAAAAGAGUGUCAUAAGGAUAUUUAGGGGUGUUAGAAGCCAUACUCAUUUACAUAAGCCAUGGGAGUUAGGGUAUUGGGUUUCUUUUUGUUUUGUAUGAAUUGGGAAAAAUACAGAGACAGACAAAGGGAACAGUCAUUACAAAGCUGUGAAGCGUGUGGGAGAUACCCAUUUGUAGCUUAAACUCCUAGGGUAUUGUUUCUGUCUUUCUCUUUCUCACUUUCUCAUGCAGCAGAUGUACAUAUCAUGAAAUAGCCAUACAUAGUUGGUUAGGCCUCCAGUCCAUUAACUUAAUAAUGAAUUUUAUGAAAAUUGAUUAUCUCAUUGGAAUUACAUGGAUAUUGGAAAGCAUUACUCCAGCCCCACCAUCCCAACAAUUUACUAAGUUCAUCAGUAAAAGCUGGAUUUUCCAUUUGUUCUUGAGAUUCAAAUUAAGGCAGCAGAUUGCUCAUCCCAUACUAUCCAUGUAAUCUUGUAAAAGUGAAGGGCGUUUAGAUGUGGAAAAACCUUACUCCUGCCGCAACGCCUCAAACAGAUUGUGAUCAGACAAGACUUAGGUCAUCAUUAGUAGUAGUUGGAACUUCCAUUUGUUCUUGAGAUUCAAAGGCAGCAAGCUGCUUCCUCAGUGCUACUAAUUCUUCCCUGGCAUUGCAUAUGUACGCUGAGGCUUGUCUACCAGACAAACUUGCUCCUUCCAUGAUAUCUAUGUAAUCCUGUGAGAGUGAAACCAUUUAGGACACAUAUCUCUUUUUUUCUAUUGAUCGUGACAUAUUUGGAAUGAAACAAUUAUAAACAGUGACCUGUUUUGUAUAUGAGCCAGCAAGGAACAAGUUCUUCACUUGUGUCUUUUGAUCAGGUCUGAAGGGGUCUUUACCAGGUCCCUCAUGGUACAAAGACUGCCCGAUUUUGACAACAGAUGACCAAAUAACUUCUAAACCUUGGGACAAUGGAAAUAGAGCUAAAACCUGAUAAAAGGAACCGUGAAUGGAUAAUAUGAACAGAUGUAUAUCAUCCAGAAAGUUGCAUGACCUUUUGCAGGGCUCAAAGUCACUAAAAAAUGUGAGAUAUACAUCUAGGAUAAGAAAAACGAAAAAGCGUAACCUAAUAUGUAUUAUAUGAAUUGAAGGUGUCACUGAACACUACCAACCUGCUUUGCCACUCUCCUAAUGAUUUCAUCAUUUGGUAAGGGCAUGUAAGGAUCGCCGGGCGUUAAAACGCAUCUGAAAGAUAAUUCAGUUAUAGUAAGCAACACAGAAUACAAAGACACUUGGCAAAAGGAAGUCAACCAGAUUCCAUGACACAAAAUGAAACUAAUAAUGGCGAAACUUCUCUGUAGUAGUCUUCUGGUGAAGUGAGUGCCAGAUCUGCAAAGCAAGAGAAAUCAGCAUGUGGAGUAUACAAAAGAUCAUCUAAUCCCAGAGCUUGCCUCAAUUGCCUACAUGUUCAAAACAAGGAUCCGUUAAAAAAUGGAAAUUUGUUCAAUGCAUUAGCAAAGGGAAGUGAAGUGAAAGCUGAUUUCUUAGGCCUUUAAAGAGCUUCUUUUGAUUGAAUUCCUGUAACCUCACAAAAGAUUAGAGCAUCACCUUGACCGUUCUAGGUCUUGCAACUCAGUAACCCAACCAUUGUAUCUAAGCUGCACUGUCACAACAGGCACUCCAACUAGCUCAUAAAUAUUGUUGAAAAACUUCAUUUCCCUCCACGAUGAUGGAAGUAAUCGUUUAAUUCCAGGGACAUCACAUGCUGCCAUUAAAUAGGAAGUUGAAUAAAGGUAAAACAUUCACCUAAAUGAUUCAGGAGAACAAAAAAGCACAAGUAGGAAUAAAUAAGGAGGAUUUAACCACAAACCUGUAACAUAUGCUUCAGCUUGCACAACCUUCUUGUCAGUGGCCUGAAACAGAACCAGAACCUCUAAGACCAUAAGCAUUAAAUAAUAAACGCAAAGUAGCUGCUUCUAACAGAUGAUAUAAACAACUGAUUUACAAAUGUCUGGUCAUUGCAUUACCUCCAUCAGAGGGAUUAUCAAUAGACGAGUAAAAAAAUAAAUAACUAAACUAGCUUUUGCCGCCUAAUUAGAACCAUGUGAGAAACAAUUACCUUAGACAUGGCAAGUCCUUUGACAUAUGUUUCUCCAUUAGCAGAUUUAUCAUAAAGUAUCUCUCUGCAUCCCCACCUAAGAUGGAACCUGUUCUAGCAAAAACAGACCCCAAGGUUAGGAAAAUCAGUAGGAGAAAACAAACAAGAUUAACAAAUCACUGCAAUGAUGUGAACCUGUAAAUAGAAAUUUACCUGCCCCCUUUAUCUGUGAUAUGUUUUCGUAUGGGCGCACUCAAAUAAGCGUCUGGAGAACCCUUGAGCAUCCGCAAUAGGGCAUAAGCAACAGGAUCCCACAUUCUCUGAAUACUCGUCCGUGUCCCACCUUUGGACAAAAACCAAUCAGAGAAGCUUAUCUGUAAGAAGAAAUGAAGUUUUAGGUAAGAUAACAAUUUGUAGGAACAAGGAUUGAUAUUAAAACAAACUAGAAAAUAAGAUGUCAUUCUUACACUAUCCAAAUCUCCUACGUCCUUCAAGGCUCCAUCAGGAUCAACGAGUGCCCUUACAACAGGACUCAGAGCAAGAGCAAGAGCAUUUCUUGCUUUAUCGUAAGUCUGCACUUGAGCAAUACAUGAGGCAAAGUACAUCAAAAAAGAAUCCAAAAGAGGCAAGAAGCUUCAACAUGAAAGAAGAAAUACUGUCUUAUCAUACCGCUAACUAAUCAGAGUGCAAAAGAUUACAUCAACAUAAUCAAAAUGGAACAUAAAUCCAUAUGCACUACCUUAAGCUAAUUUGUAGACAAAAAUGCGCGAAUCCCAUGUAAGGGAGCUCCGACUGGAAACCGGAAAUCAUGUUCUGGAGUUAAAAAUCAAAAUCAUGAACUUAAUCAGAGUUAUUAUUGGACUAGACAAUCCACAAACCAAUUUCAGAGUGUCCAACCACCAAACAUAACUAUCAGUAGUCUUAAGUGAUCAAGAAAUAACCAUACCACCAAUUUCACCACCCUUAUUCACAAAUGUAUGAGUAUGAUCCUUCAUGAGUAAAUUUUUUUGUGUCCGCACUGACCUGUAGACAUCCAUGAAAAACUAUCAGAUUAUAAACACAGGGUCAAUUUAAAGAGGAGCUAUGAUUCUGAUCCAUCAUGAUAUUUGAAGAACAUUUUCAUAUUUUCCUACAACGAGUAAACUAUAACCAGUUAUCAUCACUAUAGAUGGCAUGGUCAAGAGAAAUUAUAGUUCUUGUUUCAAGAAUCUCAAAUCAUAAUUCCUUUGCAUGGCUAGUGUGCUUUUAUAAUCAUUCAAACACACUUAUCCACAACUAAGCAAGCUUUACCUUUUUCAUCAAUCGGAACAGAUUAUUGUAGCAUCCAAAGAAAAUGUGCAGGCCCAUUUCAAUAUGGUUUCCAUGUUUAUCAAUAAAUGAACCCACUUUACCACCAAUGAAAGACCUUGACUCAUAUAUAUCCACCUGGAAGGGGGGGGAAUCUUCUAAUUUCUUUCACCAUCAACAAAAUCAGUAAAACACAUACUAAUUCAAAAUGAAAUAAACUUUGUGAAUUGAAAUAAUGCCUGCUCUAAAGAAAAUGAUAACUGCUAUUCAUUUUUCCGAACUGCUGAUAAAAGCUUCUGCUAUUUACUUUGAAAAAAUUGAGUAACUUCAAAUUUUCAGUUUAGGCAAGAGGAUGAAUGGUAAAAGUGAGACAUUUUAGGGGAAAAGAAAAUACUUGAGAGGCCAAUGAAACAUUGAAAGAUUGAAAUCUAAAUGAGCAAAACCUCAUGGCCUUGAUCCAACAAUUCCCCUGCUGUUGACAUGCCUGCAAGCCCAGCUCCAAUAAUAGCCACUUUCAGCUUUGGUCCUCUAUAAUGUGCCGGUUCUGGUGGAAACAAACACUUGGGAGCUGCCAAGUAUACCAUUCAAUUAUCCACAGGGAUAUUGGAAAAACAUACAUGUUUGAAAGUACUAAACAUCAAAUGUCUCCCGAAAAAAAUACAAAGCACAAUUGCAUAAGCAUUUCAUUUCCCAAUAAAUUUCAAGAAUACAAAAUACUUGGUCUGUUCUUGAGUUCCUUCAAGAAAAUUUCCACUAGAGAGCACGCAAGCCACUCAAUAACACUCCAAAGUCAGAUUUUAAACGUUAUCUUGAUCUAUAAGUACAAUCCAUGAACCAUUCUGCCACAAAUUCAAUUAAAAAUUAUUCAAGUAAAAUGCCAAAUUCUCCAUCAAUAGCCUCAAAAAUUCAUAACUAGCAAACACUACAGAACAAAAAGAGCUCCCAGCAAUAAACACAUAAAAAUCCCACCAAGCAACAUAAAUCAAAAUACCCAGAAACCAGAAAACCCAAAAGAUCAAUACUUGGUAAACAAACAAAUCAAAUCAAAUAAAACAAAAAGAAGAGAAAUUUACCAUUAACACUCAUAUCAGAAACGUAAGUAUCCAAAGAAGCCCGUACACAGAAUCUUGGAACCUUCACUUGAACCCGAGACCAACAAACACCAGUAACUGAAGUUGCAGGAAAAAGAAGUGAAGAACCCAUAUUGAAAUAAAAGAAUCCAAACCCAAAGUCCCACAUCUAAAUAUGAUGGAUCCACUCCAUGCGGCAAUAUGAAAUUUAAGCUCUCUUUUCUUAUGUCACCCAAGGCAUUGGCAGGAUGGCCAAACACCUGAGUUCAAGUCUACAAUAGAGAAUCGAAAUUUUCCUUUGUAAAUGUUCAUAAGUAUUUACCACAGAUAUUCAAGUUAUUCUUGAUAGAUCCCCUACUAUAUAUGCUAUAAUAUUUCUCUUCUUUUAAUUUAAAAGUAAAUCAUUCAUAAUAUCGGACUUGUAAAGAAAUAAAAUUUUCGGUAAUUAACUGACAAAACAAAAAAAGAUGGAUUAUGCGAAAGAAGUUAAUAUGGAGUAAGUCGAGCACUUGACAAUCAAAGUAAUUUACUCGAGGUUGAGUAAGGAUAGUACGAUACUUUCUCAAGUUUUCUGAGGACAUUCACGUGACAUUGGACUAUUGAUUAUAGUUAGAGAGAAGUCCAAGGAUGUAAGUGAUGAUGAUAGAUUCACAAUUCUUUUGAAGAAAAUAUUUUAUAUAAACUUAAUUAUAUGGUAUAAAAUGAUUGGCCUUAAUAAAAUUAAAAAAUAAUACACGCCUGGGUCAUGUAAUAUUUUCAACCAACUAAUUUACAUGCAAAAUUAAACUUUAUGAGUACAUUUAUUUGCUAGCAGAAACUCUGCCAAAUUUUCCGAAAUGUGAAAGUGAACACUUUUAACAACGUCACAAAAUGCAUGUGAUAAUGAAACAAUGUGCCAUCCUUAAACUAAUAUUAUUAGAAACUAUAAGUGAAAGUUUUCAGAAAACAUAUGAUAAAUUUUUCUCGGAAUUUGUUUUCUCCUUUGUUUUGAUUUAUGUGAGAGAUAGUUGUAAAGCGUAAAAUUUUAAAAUCCGUAACAAAACAAAAACUUACAUGGGUUGGGCGCACCAUGUGCAUACCAAAUUAGAAUAAUUGACGAAUCGUAAUAAAAAAUUUAUAUAUAAUAAUUGAAUGAGAUCCAUGGUUCACAAUUGCAAAUUAAAGGUUGGUUUUAUAAUAAAAAUCUUUUUUUGCAUACCAAGUUAGAAAAGAUUAUAAGUAAAUUAAGAUUUUCAAAAUUUGACUAGUAUUAUAUUACGUACGUCAAUAUAAUAUAAAUUUGUUAUAUAUAUAUAUAUUUUACUCUGCAACCAAUGCUUUCAAAAACUUUUUACUUGUAUGUUUGAACAACUUUUAUCGCUUUCUAUUUAUAUACGAUCUCAUUUAUGUUUACAUAAAUUUUCAUAUGUACCCAAAUUAAGCAUUAAAUACACACACUUUGGUAAGACACAUUUCUAGUAUCAGACAAUGAUAUUAUAUUGAAUGUAAUGCUUCAAUGAAUUUUAUUACUAUAUACUAAAAUACUCAACGAUAUUCAUUAAAAAAAAAAAAGAAAUUGCAUGAUUAGAAUGAUUAAAGUUCAUUUAAUGACGAGUUUCAUCAUUGACUGUGUCGAAACACAACAGCAAUCCACAAUACACUCAACACGAGAGGCGCACACAAGCAUGCAUGAAUCUUCCACCAUUAAACCUGAAAUCAUAAAAUGAAAGAAACAAGGUGAGUGUUGUUUUACGGUCUGAAAGCCGAUUCGAAAUAAUAAUAAUAAUAGACCUUUGUUAAUAGUUACUACUAGUGGUCACUGCCUUGUCCAUCUUCCUUCUCUGUAUCAUCGUCCACUUCCAAGCCGCUGUCAUCUGACCAAACCCCAGCAACCAUCGCGGGAAAAAUCACCUAUUUGGAGUGAGAGGGAAAAAGCUGAUUGUUGAGAAAUAUAUGUAUCUUUUGUAUGGUUGUGUUAAGGUCACCCAUGCAAGCAGAACGUGCUUCAGUCCCCCAUGCUUUACUCCCCCACUGCACUUCGUGUAAUUUGGGUGUACUUAAAUUUCCUUCAGAGAAAAUCUUCAUAUCGAGGCAAUCACCCACCACUAAUCUUUCCAAAGAUGGGAACUUGAAAGCACAAUUGCCAGAGCAGAAGCUUGUCAAACUUUUUAAGUCUAAAAGCUUCAACUCCUUCAAUUCUCUGAAAGUAAUAACCUCAUCUUUUGCUACAACAUCAUCCACCAGUACUAUUUCUGUUAUCUUAUCGCAUGAUUCUAUCUCCAUAUAUCUAAGUCGCACCAGAGUCUUUGCAAUUGAGGAUGUUAAUACGAUUUUCAAUCCUUUGCAACACGAUACCACCAGAUUUGUAAGAUUCUGAAAGGACGUCGACGAUGGCACUAGAUUGACCAAACGGUCACACCCCUUUACACGUAGAAAAACCAAGUUGUUCGUAACAGAGGACUCCUCUAUCAAAAUGUGCUCCAGUUGAUAUUUUGCUUCUCUUAUUUCUACCCUCAUCCCAUUUUCAACCUGCUCUUUCGGCAACCAAGCACCAUGUCCUCCUAUUUCGAGGACUUUCAUUGUGUGAAGUCUCUGGAGGAAGUCACCAAGUGAUAAAAUUGUCCGCUCAUCAACCAACUCCACGUAAAGAUAUUUUAGUUUGCAAAGCAAGUCUUCAGAAAAUAGAUAUUUAUUUGUUACCACGUGCUUUGCAUCAACUUUCAACUUUUCCAAAUUAGGGAAUACCUGGGAGAUUGAUCAGAGCCCAAAAAAAAAAAAAAAAAAAAAAAAAAUACAAGAUGAAUCAGUUGAUGAGAAUUAUAAGUUACCACUAAUUUAUACCAUAUAUUUUAUUCAAUAAAUCUUUACCUUUAAAAAAAAUAGUAAUAAUAAUACGCCUAGCUAACAUCUAGAAUAAUUAUGAAUGAAUACUAUACACUAAUCUAUAAGAGAGUUCCGUUGCUGACAAUUUGACUUUUAGUAAGAAACCAAGCGAUAAAGGCAAAGGCAAUAUAACUCUUAAGCUUUAUGAUAUAAACUUUCACAGUACAUACAUAAGAAUUGAAAAUUUGAUUAUAAAAUUCUUGUACGUACCCUUUCCGUCAAGAUAUUAGUAGUUCUUUUGCAUCUCGCCAUGAAUUCAGGACAUCCAGAUAUCUCUAAUUCUUUCAAGGAUGGAAAUUCAAGAUUAUCAAGAUCUCCAGUACAGAAGCUUGUGAACUUUUCAAGAUCAGACAUCCUCAGAUAUUGCAACUGAGGAAACGUUACAAUAUUAUUCUUCAUUUCUUCCUGGUUGUCCACGACUAUUAACUCUUCCAAGACGCGACAUCUGACUAUCUGAAUGCGUUGGAGUCGAACCAAGCUACUAACAGUAGCAGAUGAAAAUAGACAACUUAAAUUCUCACAGACAGACAAGGUCAAGUGCGUUAAAUUCUGAAUACCACAAGACAUGACUGUAACUUGGCUCGGCCAAAUCCUCUCAACAUUUAUUGAAUCCAACGUCAACUUCUCUAACUCUGGUAACCGAUCCUGCUCGAUCAAAAAAUUAACUUGUUAAUUGCAAGUAAACGAUCAUUGAUUAUAAAAUUCUUGUACGUACCCUUUCCGUCAAGAUAUUAGUAGUUCUUUUGUAUCUCGCCAUGAAUUCAGCACAUCCAGAUAUCACUAAUUCUUUCAAGGAUGGAAAUUCAAGAAUAUCAAGAUCUCCAGUGCAGAAGCUUGUGAACUUUUCAAGAUCAGCCAUCAUCAGAUAUCGCAACUGAGGAAACAUUACAAUAUUAUUCUUCAUUUCUUCUUCGUUGUCCACGACUAUUAACUCUUCCAAGACAGGACAUUCGACUAUCUUAAUGUGUUGGAGUCGAACCAAGCUACUAACAGUAGAAGAUGAAAAUAGACAUCUUAAAUUCUCACAGACACACAAGGUCAAGUGUGUUAAAUUCUGAAUACCACAAGACAUGACUGUAACUUGGUUUUGCCAAAUCCUCUCAACAUUUAUUGACUCCAACGUCAACUCCUCUAACUCUGGUAACCGAACCUGCUCGAUCAAAAAAUUAACUCAUUAAUUACAAGCAACAAUGAUUUCUGUUGAUGGACAAAUCAAUAAAAUUACUCUUUCUCUGGUUAUAGUUCUUUUCAGUUUUUCAUACAAACAACCGUUAAUCAAGUUUUCCAAAUUAUUCCUUACUAAAUGUAUAGAUUUAGACGGCGGCUAAUAUAGUUCAUAUUGUAAAUAUUCUUUGAUUGUAACGAAUUUUGUAAUAUUAAAUUUUGGUUGAUUCGCAAUAGGACCUACUAUCCAGCGCGAGCAGUUCUCGGGGAUUUAACUACUGGCACCUCGAUUAUAUAAAAAUUUAGAAUAUUUUCAAAGGAAAUCAAAUAAUUCCCCCUUGCAAAUAGUAAUUAUCAUCAAUUGCCGGGGGUUCACAUAUAAUUCUAAGAAAUUAGGCGAGAAGAGUCUCAUCAACAAUCAAUCAGCAAAUAUCACGUUUGGCAGAUCAUCAUGAUUUCCUCAGAUGCUAGAGAAUCAACGUGAUUUCUGCUCAUGCAGGAGUGGACACAUUAUCUUAGAGCAUCCCUCACUGAGAUCUUUUAAAAAAUUUAUAUUAUAAAGUGAACAACAUAUUUAGUAUAGAUUUAGACGGCGGCUAAUAUAAUUUAUAUGUAUUCUAAUGACGUAUAUUAAAGAAAAUGACUAACCAUAAUUUCAAUCAACUUAUUAGUCUAUAUAUAUAUAUAUAUAUAUAUAUAUAUAUAUAUAUAUAAAAGUGACUACAACAUAUUUAGUAUUCCAUGACAUGAUGUUUAUAAUAAUAAUUAUUAUUAAUUCACUUUUUGUGUCAAGAACCUUUUCUUUCUCUAAGAAUGAAUUUCUUACACCCUACUAUACUACGGAUGAAAAAUUUAGAAUCAUUGUGAAAUAUGAUUAUUAAUCACUCUUUGCCAUAUUUGCUACCAAACAAGAAUGCAACAAAGAAAAAAAAAAUUAUAGAGAAUUAAUAAGACCAUUGACUUAUCAAUAACUGACCUUCUCAGCGAAAAGUGUAUUAGAAAUUUGGACAUUGUCCUCCAAAAUGAUUUCAUGUGACCGCAAAUCAUUAGCUGAUUCCUCCUGUCUCUGCUAACAUUGCAGGUGUAUUGAUUUUAGAGUGUAAGCUUAAUUGUGAGCACAACCUUAAUGCAUAGAUACAAGAUCUUUAAAAAUUAGUACAAUAAACUUAGCACUAAAUCUGAAUUUGAUAUUUUGGAUUCCAUGAUUAAGAUUUUUUUAAAAUGAAAAUUUAAUAGAGUUAAUUUAAAAAUAAAAAUUAAAUAUGAAAAAUUAGAGUUGCAAUUAUGGAUUUAAUUUUGAUAAAUAAUGAAUGUUCUCUUAAUAUUUUUUUUUUAAAGGUAAAAGAGCGUACAAAGCCCAAAUUCAUUUUUUUAGUCCCUUACUCUCCCAUAAUUCAAACUUGGGUGGUUGUAGGAGGACUGAAAAUAUAUAAGACAGUUAACUUCACUUUUUUUUUUUUCUUUUUUUUUUUUGAGAGAAAAGAGAAGAAGGAUAUUACAAAGCAUGAAGCUCGUGCAAUAUAAGGGCAAUGAUGGUUUUUUCUUUAAAUUAAAAUAGUAAGAUUUUGAAGCUAAAAGAUUAAAAUAUUAAUUAAAUUGCAAACAUUAAAGAUUUUUUUUUUUCAAAUGGUUGCUUUGAAAAUGAGAAUAAUAUAAUAUUUGAAGACUUUUCAAAAUUAAUUACUGUGAUAGAUGCACUAGAAGUUUCUAGCUCUAGUCUAAUGUAUAAAUUGACAAAACGAUAUUAGAAUCCCAGGUGAAAAGAACCCUCUCACACCAAUUAUUUAAAUUAGGAAUGAUCAUACCUCUGACUCUGCCGAACUGAGGGCGGGGUCUAAACCCACCAUAAAGAGACGCUUGAGAUGGGAAGAGCCCACUUUGACUAAUUCAUUACGAAAAUAAUCGACAUCUUGCUCUUGCAAUCCCCAUAACUCAAGGUCUUCAAUUCUCUGCAGUUGCACGAUCAGCGAAUCCUUCAAGCAAAUCUUGUUAUUUAGCUCGACUCUGAAUUCACGACACGGAAUGCUGGUGAUCCCCCAAUACUCAAGAUCUCCAAUGCGUAUGCUGUACCUUUCCAGCUUCUCCAAGAACAGGCCUCUGGGCAGAGUGCUGACGUCAUGGGUGUCUAAUUCCAAAGAGGUCAAGUUGGGCAAAUGCUUCAACUCCUCAAGGCUUGCAUUCUUAACCCCUUCCACCUCCACCUCCCAAGCAGCAAAGCUUCUAUGACUUAUAUAUAGUUCUUCUAAAUGGGAUAAUUUUGACAGUAUAUUUGGUGGAAUAACUUUUAGACACCAACAAUCCCUCAAAUCAAGCAACUUUAGCCAAGUCAAUUCACCUACUUCUACCGGCAACUUCUCAAUAUAAGAACUUCUUAAGCAAAGGAUUUCUAGUUUCUUCAAGUCUCCUACAACACUUAUAUCACGCAAGCUGCAGUCACACAAACUCAGUGUUCGAAGGUUUGACAGGAGACCAAGUGAUGAAGGCAGUGACCGUAGAUUCAUGCCAGUCAAGUUGACAACUCUGACCUGCAUCAUCCUCUCGAAAAAGUUGUUUGGAAUUGUUAAUGAUGAAAAUUCCCAACGAUCAGCACGUAUAAAAAGAAGUUCGAGCUGAGGACAUUCCAGUACUUCAGGAAGCAAAUUAUUCUUGAUAUGAUGUAAGACGAUUGAAGUGCAAUGCUUUAUUGCACUUCCGUCUAACCAUUCCCUGCAACCAUCAACCUGCUCAUUUGUAGCAGUAAACACAUUUCGUUCAGUAGAUGCAAUUAAUAUGGCGACAUCGCGAACUACAUCAUGCAUAGAAAGCAACUCUUUCUUCUGGCUUAUAUGGUCAAGCAACAAACAAGAAUCUUUGAGCUGGUGUACCAAUGUAUGUACUCGAUUUCGUGCUGCUUCCAUCUUAUUCACACCUUGAAAUAAAGUCAAUCCCAUACCAAACAUUAACAGUUCGUCAAUAGAUGCUAUGGCUGUAUAUCCUAUUAGCAAAAAGAUGUUCUUCAGCUCCUCCCCUACCAAUUUGUCGUAACUCCACUUUAUGGCUUCAUAUGCAUCUGGCUGUACAUCCUUAAAAUUCGAUGAAGAAGGCCUUCCUAGUUUUUCCAAUGCAUCCUUCCAUUCCUGUAUGCUCUUGUUCCUUAAUGCCCUUGCAACCGUCACAAUGGAAAGUGGUAGACCUGCACAUCCCUUUGCCACACCCCUUGCUACCGAUUGGAAUUCACUGCCUUCAAAAUAAUCACCUGCCAUCUUCUUGAAUAGAUUCCAAGCUUCUUCUUCGUUUAAAACACCAAUUGAGAAAUUUGGUCGAGAAUCCAUCUUCCUAGACAAUACAUCUAGACUUCUGGCCGUCAGCAAUACUUUACAACCUUUAUGACCAUCUCCAUGAGGAAUUCCGACAACCCGCAAAUCAAGAUUUUCCCAAAUGUUGUCUAAAAUUAUCAGGAUCUUCUUCUCUGCUUCUAUACGUUUAAAUAAGCUGUUUGCCCUUCCUGAUUCACUUUCCUCAUGAAACUUCAGGCCUAAUUUAUCUGCUAUUUCUCCUUGAAUCUCUCGUAUGUUUUUAUUAUGGGAUACCUCAUCUCCUUGAAUCUUUCGUAUGUUUUGAUUACGGGAUACCUCAACAAGAACUACCUGAUAAAAGAGUUCACUCUUGACUUUCCUAGCAACUUCUUCCGCCAGCUUCGUCUUUCCGAUUCCGCCCAUUCCAUAAAUCCCAAGCAUGUUGACAUUGGGAUUUUUUAAUGCAUCCAUUAUGUCAUUCAGAAUGGGCGCUCUUGAUACAAAGGCCUCGUAGUCUUUGUUAGGGAUAAGCCGAAUAUCCUCUGCAGCAGUACGGUAGGAAAUUCUAUCAAAUCUUCUAGCGUCCCGGACUUUGACAAUAGCCUCUUUCAACGUCACUGCUUCCUUGCUAAGUCGACGGCGGGUCUUCAAAUUAGGACACAACCCCUUGAAACAACGCUUAUUUGCUGCGGCUUCAACUUCUGUAAAUUUAUCUGCCUCUUCAAUGACUUUGUUGGCCCCUUCAAGCCAACUCCUAACGUUCUCUUCAAUUUCUUCCCCGUUUCGUUCAGCCUCAUCAACCUGGUGCUUUGUACUCACCCUCUGAGACUUCAGAUUGUCAACUUCAGUCUUGAGAUUCUGUAAGUUGCUCGUGUACUUACUCUCACGCAAAUAGCUAAUGCGGCGAUAUGCGGGAGGAACCAAGCACUUCACAACUUCUACAACAAUAGUAAGAAUGAAUUCAGCCAUCUUCAGUCCUUUGUCCUUGUCUCUCUAUCUCUCUUUUUCUGAAUUUUUGAAAAACAAUUGACUACUUAGGAAGCACACUGAGUGAUUGAACACAAGUGACCACAACAAGAUGGAACAAAAUAAAAAGGAAAAAAAAUACAAAGAGUGGAAGGAGAAUAAAACAGAGACAGCGGCACAGCUGGACACAACUAGAUAGAGAACAGAGCAAAACCAAAUAACAAGACUUAAGAUUACAACAAACAGAGGCCAAGUAUUAUUGUUGAGAUCAGAAGAUGGAAAAUUCAAAAGAGUUGAUGGCAGAUGCUGAAUAACAAAACAACAAUGAACGCAAUAAGCAGAAGCAAAGUGUGUUUGAAUGCAAAGAAAGACUGAUGUUGAAAAUUGAUGUCAAUAGCGAAGGAAUAAUUGAACUUUCGCUGAAUUAUUGUUUGUGGCCUUCUUUUACUUUUUAUUUGUGGGUCAUGUCUUUUGGAACUAAUCAUCUUAGGUUAUGCCUUAUAGCUUUAAGGCCGGUAAACCGGUGUCCGUUGGAUUAGCAUAUAGAAAUCCAACGGUGGAUAUAUAUACUUGGAGAAUAAAAUUCAAGAGCUAAGGGAGUGCUGGGCUGCAGUUUCUUAAGGAGAUUUAUAUAUCCUCCUCAAAAAUAAAUGUUUUAAGGUAGAUAUUUAGACUAUUUCAUCAUAAAAUAAAUGUAAUUAGUUUUCAAUAAAUAUCUUAUAUAAAUAUUUAUUUAUUUUUUUAAUUACUAAUGACCUUUGAAUAUACAUAUAUACAUAUCCCUAGUUCAAAAAAUAAAUUGUGAUUAUUUGUUCAUGUAUGCGAUUACUUGUGAUGGGAAAUAAAAUAGAUAUGGUAUAUUUUGAAGUUAAAUUAAAAAAAAAAAAAACAGAGCUUUUACCAUUACUUGCCUUAUCAUCUUUUAAAUUAGAGUUAUUAUUCUUUUAUUUUUCAAGUUGCCAACUCAUCCGCAUUUUUUUUUUAUUGAAUUUGAAGAUCAAUGAUUAUAAAUGUGUGUAAAAAUUUUAAGUCAAAACUUUAAAUAAUCUUUAAGUUAUUGGGAAAUAAUAACUUAGUAUAACAAAUAUUAUAUCCUAUACUUUAUUGCUACAAAAUUACGAAACCUUAUAUUAUAUUAUGUUUCCAUAUUUCUCCUUUAUAGUGAAGACUCAUACUUCUUCUCUAUUAAAUGCUAAAGUAUUGGCUUAAAUUUUUUAACCAGCACAGUAGACCCUUAAGCUAUAUAUACUAUAAUGUCCCUCUUCUCUCAUAGAUUAAACCAAUCUGAUCUCGGAGUGAGUUGAUACCAUGACUUUGCAUAAUUCGUGAUCAAAGGAGUAUCAUUACUAACUAAUAUAGGCUCCAUCAAUAGGCAUGAUAAUAAUUUUUUUUAUAUACAAACACUGUUUUUCAAAAUAUUAUAUCUUAAGACUUAACUAAAUAUUUUGUAACUAUGUAGAUAUAGUUUGUUUGAUCUCUUUUAAAUAGUGGAGAUUACAAACAAACAUAUGCAAAUUAGUAGUGAUGUUGAGUUUAGAAGAUUGAAGUUAAGAAAAUUAAGGGUUUCUUGAUCUAGAGAAAUUUCAAAUGAGUGAAGUGUCCUUGAAAUCGGAAGACGAAAAUAAGGAAAGGGUAAGGGUGUAUUUUCAAAGUGAUUCUAUUACGAGAUUUUGAAGUAGGGGUGGGCAAGUCGGGUUUUGGUUCGGGUUGUUCAAGUUUCGAUUUGGAUUUCAACCCAAUCGGGUUUGAGAAUUGAAUCCAAUCGGGUUGAAAACGCCAACCCAAACUAAACCGAACCGAAUUUAAUUCAGCUUGGGUUCAUAAUUCGGAUUGGUAAUUCAGGUUAAAAUUUCGGUUCGGGUUAAUUUGGGUUAGAAUAAUUCCAUCUAAAAUUUUGGGUUAGUUCGGUUUAAAACAAAUUGAAACAAUUUAAUCCAAAAAUUAUACCAACAACCACUUAAAAUCCAAAAAUCUCAAUUCCAAACAUCCUUAACAACAAAUAUCAACUACAAACUAUCCUUGAUAACAUUUCAACAAUAACAAUAACAAUAAUAACAACAACAACAACAAUAAUAAUAAUAAUAACAACAACUAUGAAUCAGCAAUUCAGCAUAUUGCCAUAUUCUAAAUUUAAAAAAACACACAAAUUAUGUAAUUAAUUAAUUAACAAUCUCCAAUUUAAUUUAUAAUAACAACAAAAAUCCUCUCCAAUUUAAUUAAUAACAAUCUCGAAUUGUUCAAUUACCAGUCAACAACAACAAACCCACUCCAAAUAAUUGAACAAUUGUUAAUUAAUUAAUUAAAAAUAUCUAAUUUAAUUAAUAACAACACCCAAGAGCAAGUCAGCAAUAAACCCACUCAAAAAUCCAAAUAUCAGUAUAAAUUAAGUGUCAAACCUUGAUCGGUGGGAAGCUACAGCGUCGGCAAAUUGUGACCGUGUGGGGCUGAGUGAGACCGUCAACCGAGGGUGUGAGAAGGGAGGAGGGAGCAGGGAGGUAACGAGGUGUGUGUGAGUUUAUAUAUAUAUAUAUAUAUAUAAUUUUUAAAACCUAAAACUUAAAAAAAAAAUUUAACCCAAUCCAAACCGCCCACCUCAUAUUACUUCCGUUAAGAGAUGGAUCCCACACUCUUGAGCCUUUGUCGUCCCAGUCAACUAUAAAAACAAAUCAUUAUUGAGUGUGAAUAGACUUAUUGAUCACCCAAUUUUCAAACUUAUCAUCCUUAUUGUAUCUGCAUUCCCUUUUGAAAAUUUUUUAAAAAAGUACAAAUAAUGAAACAAAGUUUUGUUCCUUCAACAGUUGAUAGAGUUACGCGGCUUGGACUUGCAAGUGCUGUCGGCAUUUUCAAACUUGUAAGACCCUUCAACUUGCUUUCCAAGAUAGCUAUAAUUAAUAAUGACAACAGUCUCCCUCAUAGCGACUAGUGAGCAACUGAAAUUAACGGCAUCUUCUCUCGCAUUUUUAAAAAAAUUGAAUUAUAUAACCCACCAAAACUAUAAAGAAUUGUUAGUUUUUCUUCAUUAAAAUUAAUAUAUUGCUCCUCAUAUUGAAAAAUCAAAAUUCAGAAUAAGAAUGAUUGAUACUGUUUAUUUACUAAAAUGAAAAUAAAAUAUAUGAAGCCUACAUAUUUUUGAAAUUAAAAAACAAGAACUUGAUUUUCCUUGGGGAGUGUUGGAAAUCAAGUUCUUGUUAUUUAAACUCUCAAUUGUAUCUCACCGAAAUUUCAUAAUUCUACUUUUGUCUUCAAUUAAAAUAUUAUUAUAGUUAUUAUUCUUAUUUUUGUAGUUGUUGUUGUUGAUUAUGAUAAAUGGUCAGGCAAAUGAUUCAUUUACUUAUUUUUUUCCUUUUAAAUUUUUGUUAUUAAGAAGAUUUUUGGAUAUUUAGCGUGAAGGUCUCAACUGAUCGCUAAUUUCACAGCAACUUCCUUUUUUUUUUUUUCCCUCAAUUGUUUUGAAAAAAUAUCAAGACUCAUUCAGCAAAAUAUCCGAGGCCAAAGCGCCAAAAGAUGGGACAGCCACAUGCACUUCUAAUUACAAAAUCUAAAGUUAGGGUGUCCAUAACUUACAUUUAAUAUAAUUUAUAAUUAGGUAAAAUUCAUUCAUUGACCCAGUAAUUUUAUUAUCCUAUUACUUAUAUUUUUAUAUUAAAAAAUUAGUAAGUAGGAAAAUUCUUAAAAGAUAAUGAAGAAGGAAAAGAAAAAGAAAAAGUGUAAAUGAACUGUAUUCACAUAAGUUUCAAACAUGUGAUUCAAUCUGAAUUGGCUUUUUUCAAAAGUAAAUACAAAGGAAAAUAAAAAGAAAAAAGCAAUUAAACGAGACUAAAAUCUGUGGCCUGUGUCAUUCAUAUCUUUUGACAUUUCUUUUAUAGCGGUAUAAAGGGUAGAUAUUUUGAAGUGAAAAGCAAAGCCUUUACCAUUACUUGCCUUAUCAUCUUUUAAAUUAGAGUUAUUAUCCUUUUAUUUUUAAGUAGCCAAAUUAGAGUUAUCAUCCUUUUAUUUUUAAGUAGCCAACUCAUCCGCAUUAUCUAUUAUUGAAUCUAAAGAUAAAUGAUUAUAAAUUUCUCUGAAGAUUUUAAGUCCAAACUAUAAAUUAAAAUAAUCUUAUUGAUUAAGUUAUUGUAUAAUAAUAACCUUAGCAUGACAAAUAUUAAUUCUUCUCUAGUAAAUGCUAAAGUAUUGGCUUAAGUUUUUUAACCAGCACAGUAAAUCCUUAAAGCUAUAUAUGCUAUAAUGUCCCUCUUCCCUUACAAAUUAAACCAAUUUGAAUUUAGAGUGAGUGAGUACCAUGAGUUUGCAUCAUUUGAUAUCAAAGGAGCAUCAUUACUAACUAAUACAGGCUCGAUCGAAUUCAUCAUACGAAGCAUAUUAUCGGCUGUAGGUAUGGAAAUAAAUUUUGUAUCCACAAACACUAUUUUUCAAAAUAUUUAAGACUUAACUUAUCAUUUUUUAACCAUAUAUGCAUAGGUUGUUUGACCUAUUUUAAAUAAUGGAGAUUACAACAAAUGAACAGAUGUGGAUUAGUAGUGUUGUUGAGUUCAGAAGAUUGAAGUUAAGAAAAAGGUUUCUUGAUCCAGAGAAAAUUCAAAAGAGCGAAGUGUCUUCGAGAUCAGAAAACGAAAUAAGGAAAGGGUAAGGUUAUACUUUCAAAAUGAAUUUGUUGAGAGAUCUUUGAAGAUUAUUUUCAUUAACAAUUAGAUCCCACACUUGAGUCUUUGUCGUCUCAGUCAGUCAGUUAUAAAGACAAAUUAAUUUUGAGUAUGAAAGGACUUUCAAACUUGUGACCCUUCAAGCUUUCUAUGACAGCUAUAAUGAAUAAUUACAACAGUGCUACCUAAUAGUGAGCAACUUGUUUGAUGAAAUUAACAACUUCUUUUCUCUCAUGUAUUUUUAAAAAAUUGAAUUAUCAAAGCUUUUAUUUCAAAAUUAGUGCUAUAGUUCAUUAAUUUUGAAAAAUUUUCUUUUUUCUUUCCACACAACAGAUUGAUUUGCCCUCCAAAAACUGUAUUAGAUUGUUUAAUAUUGUAACUUCAAAAAACUUAUAAUAAAUUUUUAAAGAGAUAAAUAGGGAAUGUCAGUCUCCCAUCUACUCAAAAUUAAUAUAUAUCAUUAACUCUUGAUUAUUUUUAUAACAACUAAUAACUUUCUGGGCAGCAUAAUUUUACAGUAUCAUCCUUGUUUGUAAGUAUAUUUUUAUUCACAUUUAUUAUAAAUUAAUUAAGUCAUAUCAAUGAAAAUUGAAAUAGAAAUUGAAGUACUAAAAAAAAUGUUUUGGUGUGAAUAAAAAAUUGAAAAUAAAAAUAUUUUUAUUAUAUUUUUUAUUUUUAAAUGGUUUUCUUAUAAUAAAUAUAUAUUUUAUAUUCUCAAAUUGAAUUAUUGAGUAAAUGACUCAUUUACUCACUUUUUCUUUUAAUUUUGUUAUUAGGAGGAUUUUUAGAUAUAAUGAAAAUUGUAAGGUAGUAAGUAAUAUAAAAUAAUUUUAAUAGAGAAAAAUAAAAAAUCUGUAAUUUUAAAAUAUAAGGAGAAAAAUAAUUAAUUUCAAGAUAUUUUAGAAGAUAUUUCAAUAUGCGGUGGACUAUAAACUCGAGUCUUUGUCGUCACAGUCAACUAAAAGGACAAAAUAUUGAGUGCGAAGGGCUCAACUGAUUGCUAAUUUCACAGUAAUUGCGUUUUUUCUUUCUUUUUUUUAAUUAUUGGGAAAUAAUAACUUAGUAUAACAAAUAUUAGAUCCUAUACUUUAAUGCUGCAAAAUUAUGAAACCUUAUAUUAUAUUAUGUUUCCAUAUUUCUCCUUUAUAGUGAAGACUCACACACUUCUUCUGUAGUAAAUGCUAAAGUAUUGGCCUAAACUUUUUAACCAGCACAAUAAACCCUUAAGUUAUAUAUGCUAUAAUGUACCUCUUCCCUCACAGAUUAAACCAAUCUGAUCUCAGAGUGAGUUUGCAUCGAAGGAGUAUCCUUACUAACUAAUAUAGGCUCGAUCAAUAGGGAUGACAAUAAUUUUUUUAUCUACGAACAUUAUUUUUUCAAAAUAUUAUAUCUUUAGACUUAACUAAAUAUUUUUUUAAUCAUGUAUGUAUAGUUUGUUUGAUCUCUUUUAAAUAGUGGAGAUCACAACAAAGCAAAUGCUAAUUAGUAGUGAUGUUGAGUUCAGAAGAUUGAAGUAAUGAAAAUUAAGGGUUUCUUGAUCCAGAGAAAUUUCAAAAGAGUGAAGCGAAAAGUGAAUUUAUUGAGAGAUCUUUAAAGAUUUACUUCCAUUAAGGGUUGGAUGCCACACUUUUUGAGCCUUUGUCGUCCCAAUCAUUCAAUUAUAGGAUCCCUAAGCAUAUAACUUACAAUCCUUUCACAUAAAUAAUGAGUAGUGUGAAUCCAUACAACUUACAACCUUCUCACAUAAAUAAUGAGUAGUGUGAAUCCAUACAACUUACAACCUUCUCACAUAAAUAGUGAGUAAAUCUAAACUACUCACUAUUCAUGUAAAAAAAUUAUAAAUUACAUACAUGUAACUUAGCAUUAUUCUCCACUAUAAAGACAUAUUCUUAUUGAGGGUGAAUAGGCAUAUUGAUCACUAAAUUUUCAAACUUGUGAUCCUCAUUAAAUGUGAUUCCCCUUUGAAAAAGAAAAAAAAGUGCAAAUAAUGAAACAAAAUUAUGUUCCUUAGCAGCAAGUGGCGUCGGCAUUUUCAGACUUGUAAAAGGGAAUGAGAUCCUUUCCUGAACCCGGAUCUCAUUCCCUGUGAAACAAAAAAAGGUGCAAAUAAUGAAACAAAAUUCUGUUCCUUAGCAGCAAGUGGCGUCGGCAUUUUCAGACUUGUAAAAGGGAAUGAGAUCCUUUCCUGAACCCGGAUCUCAUUCCCUGUGAAACAAAAAAAGGUGCAAAUAAUGGAACAAAAUUUUGUUCCUUAACAGCAAGUGGUGUCGGCAUUUUCAGACUUGUAACAAGGGAAUGAGAUCCUCUCCUGAACCGGGAUCUCAUUCCCUGUGACAAGACCCUUGCCACCCUUCAACUCGCUUUCCAAGAUAGCUAUAUUAAUCGUGACAACAUUACUCUCAGUGAGCAAAAGUUAACAUCAUCUUCUCCCUAUUUUUUUAAAAAAUUGUAUUAUAUAGCCCACCAAAACUAUAAAGAGUCUUUUCUUAUUAAAAUUAAUAAAUUACUCUUUAUAUUAAAAAAUUAAAAUUCAAAAUGAAAAUGAUCUGAUGUUUAUUUAUUAAAAUAUAAAUAAAAUAUAUGAAGUUCAUAUUUUUUUAAAUUAAAAAAUAAGAACCUAAUUUCAUUCCUUAAAUUCCCAAAUUUACCUCACAAAAAUUCCAUAAACUUACUUUUGUCCUUAAUUAAAAUAUUAUUAUGUUAUUAUUAUGGUUAUUAUUCUUAUUUUUGUAAUAGUUGUUGUUGUUGAUGAUGAUAAUACAUAUAAUAAAAUUAAUAAUAAUAAAAAUAAUAACUAUAAUUUUAACAACAGCAAUAAUAAUCAUUAAUAUUAUUGUUGUUGUUGUUGUUGUUGUUGUUGUUCUUCUUCUUCUUCUUCUUCUUCUUCUUCUUCUUCUUCUUCUUCUUCUUCUUCUUCUUCUUAUUAUUAUUAUUAUUAUUAUUAUUAUUAUUACUAUCCUAUUAUAAUAAUAUUAUUAAAUAAUUAUUUUGAAUAAUAAUAAUCACAAUUAUUAUAACAAACGACAAAAAUCAACUAAGGUAAUUUUAAUAACUUGUAAGAAUUCAUUUUUAUUCAUGGAUAUGUGAUUAUUUGUUAAUGUAUGCAAUUACUUGUGAUGGUAAACAAAGUAUAUAUGGUAUAUUUUCAAGUUAAAAAAGAAAAACAAAACAAAGUUUUUACCAUUUCUUGCCUUAUCAUCUUUUAAAUUAGAGUUAUUAUUCUUUUUAUUUUUCAAGUUGCCAACUCAUCCGCAUUCUCUUUUAUUGAAUUUGAAGAUCGAUGAUCAUAAAUUUGUGUGAAAAUUUUAAGUAAAAAUUUUAAAUUAAAAUAAUCUUUUAAGUUAUUGGGAAAUAAUAACUUAGUAUAACAAAUAUUAUAUCCUAUACUUUAUUGCCACAAAACUACAAAACCAUAUAUUAUAUUAUGUUUUCAUAUUUCUCCUUUAUAGUGUGAAGACUCAUACUUCUUCUCUAGUAAAUGCUAAAGUAUUGGCUUAAACUUUUUAACCAGCACAGUAGACCCUUAAGUUAUAUAUGUUAUAAUGUCCCUCUUCGCUCACAGAUUAAACCAAUCAGUAGCCUUCUCUCAUAUAGAAAAACUUUUUGUAUAAGACAAAUUAUUAUGUUAUCGGAAAAAUUACAGUAGACGUAAGCUAUAUAUGUUAUAAUGUUCAGAAGAUUGAAGUUAAGAAAAUUAAGGAAAGGGUAAGGAUGUAUUUUCAAAGUGAAUUAUUAAGAGAUCUUUGAAGAUUACUUCCGUCAAGAGUUGGGUCCCACACUUUUACCUUUUGCUCGUUCCCGUGAAAGUCAGUUUAGAAUUUUUAUCUUAUUUCACAAAGCUAAUUUUUUAUCACAAGCAGGAGAGAAACGGCAUUUCUUAGCAGUAGUUCAUCACUGUAGUAGCGAGCGAGUGAGGAACAAAAUUGCCAACAAUUAUCAAAAAAUAAUUAUAUAAAAAAGAUCACAUGCUAUAAUUAAUCAUGACAAUUGACAACAUUACUCCCACCGAGCAAAAGUUAACAGCAUCUUCUCCCACAUUUUUUAAAAAAAAUUGUAUUAUAUAACCCACCAAAAGUAUAAAGCGUCUUUCCUUAUUAAAAUUAAUAAGUUACUCUUUAUAUUGAGAAAUUAAAAUUUAAAAUGAGAGUGAUUAAUGAUGUUUAUUUAUUAAAAAUAAAAUAAAAUUUAUGAAGUCUAUAUAUUUUUUAAAUUAAAAAAUAAUAACUUAAUUUCUUAUAGGGAGUGUUGGAAAUCAAGUUUUUAUUUCUUAAAUAUCCAAUUUUACUUCACAAAAAUUUUAUAAGUUCACUUUUAUCCUUAAUUAAAAUAUUAUUAUGGUUAUUAUUCUUAUUUUUGUAGUAGCUGCUGUUGUUAUUGUUGUUGUUGUUGUUGAUGAUGAUGAUAAUAGUUGAUAAUAAAAUUAAUAAUAAUAAUGAAAAUAAUAACUAUAAUUUUAACAGCUACAAUAAUAAUCAUUAAUGUUAUCGUUGUUCUUAUUAUUAUUAUUAAAAAAUAAUUAUUUUGAAUAAUAAUAAUCACAAUUAUUAUAACAAACAACGACAAUAAUCAACUAAUGUCAUUUUUCUAACUUAUAACAAUUCAUUUUUUAUUCCAAGACAAACUAACCAUAUCAAUAAUAAUACAGGUCGUUUCGAUUCUAAUUUUUACAGGUAAAGUAAAUAAUUUAUUCUGAUUCUCAUUUUUUAUUUUGAUUUUAUUCUAUUCCGAUUCCAUUUGAUUAUGAUUCCAGCCAAUUCUAAUUAUCGAUUAGAAAAUGCAUUGUUACUACUUUAACAAUAACUAAUGAUUCUCCUCACAAUUCUUAUAGGAUUAUCCUUAUUUUAAAAUAUUUUUUAUUCGUAUUUAUUAUUAAUUAAUUAAAUUAUAUCAAUGAAAAUCAAAUAAAAAUUUAACUAAUAAAAAUGAGAAAAUAUAUGUUUCGGUUUGAAUAAAAAAUUAUAAUAAAAUAUUUUUCUUACAUACUUUAAAUAUUUUUAUUAUAAUAAAUAUUUUUUUAUUCUCAAAAUAAAUUAUCAAGUAAACGAUUCAUUAACUCAUUUUUUUCCUUUAAAUUUUUGUUAUUAAGAAGAUUUUUGGGUAUUGACCGUGAAGGGCUCAACUGAUCGCUAAUUUUGCAGCAAUUACCUUUUCUUUUUCUUUUUUUUUAAUUGUUUUGAAAAAAUAUCCAGACUCAUUCUGCAAAGUACCUGAGACUAGAGCUGGCAAAAUUUGACACGACCCGAUUACCCGACACGAACACGACAUAAAUAAAUGGGUAUGGGUCGUCAAAUUUAACACGAUUAUUAAAUGGGUCGGGUCCGGGUCAACACGAUUUUUUUCCGUGUCGGGUUUGGGUUAAAAUUCUUGACCCAUUUACCCGAUCAAUGACCCGAUUAUAUUUUCUAUUUUAAAAUAAUUUAUAUAUUCUUAUAAUUAAAACUCAAAUAUUAGAGAUGAUUUUCUUUUUUUUUUUAUUUUUUAAAAGGGUGAAUAUAAACACAGUGUUUUAUUUAUAAAAUUUUACAUACAUUUAGAGCUUCAAUAGUGUAAAUGUGUAAAAAUUGAUAGACAUGUAUAUUUUAUAAUAUUGAUAUAUAAUAUUAUAUAUAUAUAUAUAUAUAUAUAUAUAUAUAUAUAUAUAUAUAUAUAUAUAUUAAAACUUCAAUAGUAUAAAUGUAUAAUAUAUUGGUAGAUAUAUAUAUUUUAUAAUAUUGAUAAAUUAUGUAUGUAUGUAUGUAUGUAUGUAUGUAUGUAUGUAUGUAUGUAUGUAUGUAUUUAUGUACAUACGUAUGUAUGAUAGUGUGUAAAUAUUUUAUGUAACUUUUGUUCAAUAUAUAGAUAUUAAACGGGUUAUUGGGUAACCCGAUUAUUUUUCCGUGUCGGGUUUGAGUCUCAAUAUUUUGACACGAUUAUUAAAUGGGUCGGGUUUGGGUCGAUCUAAAUUUGACACGACACGAAACUGACACGAUACGAACACGAUCCGAUGACCCGUUUUGCCAGCUCUACCUGAGACCAAAGCGCCGGCCAAAGCGCCGAAAGAUAGGACACCCACAUGUGCUUUUAUUUACAAAAUCUAAAGUUAGGGUGGGUGUCCAUAACUUAAAUUUAAUAGAAUUUAUAAUUAGGUAAAAUUCUUUGAUUGACCCAUUAACUUUUAUUAUUUUAUUAUUUAUUUUUAUAUUAAAAAAUUAGUAAUGUAGAAAAAUUCUUAAAAGUUAAUGGAGAAGGAAAAGAAAAAGAAAAAGUGUAAAUGAACUGUAUUCAUUUAAGUUUCAAACAUGUGGUUCAAUCUGAAUUCGUUUUUUUUAAAAGUAAAUACAAAAGAAAAUAUAAAGAAAAAAAAUUAAACGAGACAAAAAUCAGUGGCGUGGGUCAUUCAUAUCUUUUUCCAUUUUUUUUUAAUAGAGGUACAUAGCAUAGAGUCGAUAUUUUGAAGUGAAAAGCAGAACCUUUACUGUUGCUUCCCUUAUCAUCUUUUAAAAUUAGAGUUAUUAUUCUUUUAUUUUUAAGUGGCCAACGGAUGGUAGCCAACUCAUCCGUGUUCUCUAUUAUUGAAUUUAAAGAUCAAGGAUUUAUGUUAAUAAAUAUUUUGUUAACUAUCAAAGUUUUUAUUUCAAAAUUACUCCUAUAAUUCAUUAAAUUUUCAAUUUUUCCUUUUUCUAUUCACACAACAGAUUGAUUUGCCCUCCAAAAAAAUGUAUUAGAUUGUUUAAUAUUGUAACAUCAAGAAACUUAUAAUAAAUUUUUAAAGAGAUAAAUAGAGAAUGUCAGCAUCUACUCAAAAUUAAUAAAUAUACCACUAACUUCUUAUUAUUUUUAUAAUAACUAAUAACUUUUUUACCAGUAUAAUUUUAUAGUAUUAUUCUUAUUUGUAAGUAUAUUUUUUAUUCAUAUUUAUUAUAAAUUAAUUAAAUCAUAUCAAUAAAAAUUAAAAUAACACAAUAUGUUUUGGAGUGAAUAAAAGAUUGAAAAUAAAAAUAUUUUUCUUUUAUUUUUUGUUAUUUUAAAAUUUUUUUCUUAUAAUAAAUGUAUAUUUUAUAUUCUUAAGAUGAAUUUUGAGUAAAUGACUCAUUUACUCACUUUUUCUUUAAAUUUUUGUUAGUAGGAGGAUUUUUAGAUAUAAUGAAAAUUGUAAGGUAGUAAGUAAUAAUAUAAUAAUUUUAAUAAAGAAAAAUAAUUAAUUUCAAGACAUUUCAGAAGAUAUUUCAAUAUGCGGUGGACUACAUCCUUGAGUUGAGUCUUCAUCGUCUCAGUCAACUAAAAGGACAAAAUAUUGAGUCACAAAGGACUCAACUGAUUGUUAAUUUCACACCAAUUACCUUUUUUUUCUUUUUUUUUUCUUAAUCUAUAUAUUUAUAUAAAGUUAGUACUUGAGAAUGUGAUGUAUCAUCACCAUUUUUUUUUAUUUAAUAAAUAGAGAAAUUUUCUUUUAAAUUUGACUUUUCAUUUUCUCAUAAUUAAUUUGAUUGCUAUUGCACAAUAACAAUUAUGUAAAGAUUUUAAUGAGGCAUAUUAUUUGUAAUGAACAUUUAAGAGAGAGUGUUAUUUGUAAUGAACAUCUAAGGGAGAGUGUUAUGAAUUUAUUAAAAUAAAUAUAUAUUUUCAUAAUAUAUAUCUCUUAGUCUCCCCACUAUCUCCCAUUAGCAACCUUUAGCUUCCUUAUAACUCCCACUAUUUUUAUAAAUCCACCCACCUUCAUAAAAUAAUUACAAUAAGUUCACAUUAUUUUAUAGAAUUACAAAUUAAUAAUAAGUUUGAAUAAUUAAUUAAUUAAAUCAUUCUUAUAAUUUUUUUUCUUUCUUUGUCUUUCAACAAUCUUUAAUAAUUUAAGGUUGCUUUAAGAUAAGUUUAAUUUAAUUAAUUUACCCUUAUAAUAUAAAAUAACAAAAUUACCCUAAGAAAUAUAUAUUAUUGUAACUAAUUGUUUAGGCAUUUAGUUUUAUGUUUUAUAAUCUAAUAUGCUUUAUAUAAAAUUUAAUAAUUUUCAAUACUCCAAAUGUCCUAAUUACAUCUUGUUAGUUUAGUGAAAUAUUAAUAAUUAUACUAAAAAAGCAUUACUUAUACAUCAUUAAAAUAUAAAAAAAAUUAUUAAGUUAAAGUAAACUUUUAGAUAUUUUUGUUACUUUUACCUUAUAAGGUUAGAAUAAUUAUAUUAAUUUAUGUUAAAACAACCUUAUUGAUCAAAUAUAAUUAAAAAAAUAGUCUCAUAAAAAAAUUAAUGAAUAUGGAUUUAAUUGGUUAAAUUUUUAAAUUUCUUCUUAAUUUGAAUUUUUAAAAAAUAAUGUGUACUUGUAGUAAUGAUUUUUUAAAAUUGGGGUGGGUUAUUAUUGAUGACCUUUGAACAUACAUACAUAUUAUUAAUAUAUUUAUUAAUAUAUACGAUUACUUGUGAUGGUAAACGAGGUAGAUAUGGUAUAUUUUUAAGUUAAAAAAAAAAAACAAAACUUUUACCAUUUCCUGCCUUAUCAUCUUUUAAAUUAGACUUAUUAUUAUUUUAUUUUUCAAGUUGCAACUCAUCCUCAUUCUCUUUUAUUGAAUUUGACGAUCAAUGAUUAUAAAUUUGUGUGAAAAUUUUAAAUCAAAGUUUUAAAAUAAAAUAAUCUUUAAGUUAUUGAGAAAUAAUAACUUAAUAUAACAAAUAUUAUAUCUUGUACUUUAUUGCUACAAAAUUACGAAACCUUAUAUUAUAUUAUGUUUCCAUAUUUCUCCUUUAUAGUGAAAACCCAUACUUCUUCUCUAGUAAAUGCUAAAGUAUUGGGUUAAACUUUUUAACCAGCACAGUAGACCCUUAAGCUAUAUAUGUUAUAAUGUCCCUCUUCCCUCAGGAUUAAACCAAUCUGAUCUCAGAGUGAGUUUGCAUUAUUUGUCAUCAAAGGAGCAUCAUUACUAACUAAUAUAGACUCGAUCAAUAGGUAUGACAAUAAAUUUUCUGUCUACGAACACUAUUUUUUAAAAUAUUAUAUCUUUAGACUUAACUAAAUAUUUUUUAAUCAUAUAUGUAUAGUUUGUUUGAUCUCUUUUAAAUAGUGGAGAUCACAACAAAGCAAAUUCGAAUUAGUAGUGAUGUUGAGUUCAGAAGAUUGAAGUAAAGAAAACUAAGGGUUUCUUGAUCCAGAGAAAUUUCAAAAGAGUGAAGCGAAAAGUGAAUUUAUUGAGAGAUCUUUGAAGAUUUACUUCCGUUAAGAGUUGGAUGCCACACUUUUUGAGCCUUUGUCGUCCCAAUCAUUCAAUUAUAGGAUCCUUAAGUAUAUAACUUUCAAUCUUUUCACAUAAAUAAUGAGUAGUGUGAAUUCAUACAACUUAUAACUUUCUCACAUACAAUUUACAACAUUCUCACAUAAAUAGUGAGUAAAUCUAAACUACUCACUAUUCAUGUAAAAAAAUUAUAAAUUAUAUAUAACUUAGCAUUAUUCUCCACUAUAAAGACAUAUUCUUAUUAAGUGUGAACAGACAUAUUGAUCACUAAAUUUCCAAACUUGUGAUCCUCAUUAAAUGUGAUUCCCCUUUGAAAAAGAAAAAAAAGUGCAAAUAAUGAAACAAAAUUAUGUUCCUUAGCAGCAAGUGGCGUCGGCAUUUUCAGACUUGUAAAAGGGAAUGAGAUCCUUUCCUGAACCCGGAUCUCAUUCCCUGUGAAACAAAAAAAGGUGCAAAUAAUGAAACAAAAUUCUGUUCCUUAGCAGCAAGUGGCGUCGGCAUUUUCAGACUUGUAAAAGGGAAUGAGAUCCUUUCCUGAACCCGGAUCUCAUUCCCUGUGAAACAAAAAAAGGUGCAAAUAAUGGAACAAAAUUUUGUUCCUUAACAGCAAGUGGUGUCGGCAUUUUCAGACUUGUAACAAGGGAAUGAGAUCCUCUCCUGAACCGGGAUCUCAUUCCCUGUGACAAGACCCUUGCCACCCUUCAACUCGCUUUCCAAGAUAGCUAUAUUAAUCGUGACAACAUUACUCUCAGUGAGCAAAAGUUAACAGCAUCUUCUCCCUAUUUUUUUAAAAAAUUGUAUUAUAUAGCCCACCAAAACUAUAAAGAGUCUUUUCUUAUUAAAAUUAAUAAAUUACUCUUUAUAUUAAAAAAUUAAAAUUCAAAAUGAAAAUGAUCUGAUGUUUAUUUAUUAAAAUAUAAAUAAAAUAUAUGAAGUUCAUAUUUUUUUAAAUUAAAAAAUAAGAACCUAAUUUCAUUCCUUAAAUUCCCAAAUUUACCUCACAAAAAUUCCAUAAACUUACUUUUGUCCUUAAUUAAAAUAUUAUUAUGUUAUUAUUCUUAUUUUUGUAAUAGUUGUUGUUGUUGAUGAUGAUAAUACAUAUAAUAAAAUUAAUAAUAAUAAAAAUAAUAACUAUAAUUUUAACAACAGCAAUAAUAAUCAUUAAUAUUAUUGUUGUUGUUCUUGUUGUUGUUGUUGUUGUUCUUCUUCUUAUUAUUAUUAAUAUUAUCAUCCUAUUAUAUUAUUAUUAUUAAAUAAUUAUUUUGAAUAAUAAUAAUCACAAUUAUUAUAACAAACGACAAUAAUCAACUAAGGUAAUUUUAAUAACUUGUAACGAUUAAUUUUUAUUCAAAGAUAUGUGAUUAUUUGUUAAUGUAUGCAAUUACUUGUGAUGGUAAACAAAGUAUAUAUGGUAUAUUUUCAAGUUAAAAAAGAAAAACAAAACAGAGUUUUUACUAUUUCUUGCCUUAUCAUCUUUUAAAUUAGAGUUAUUAUUCUUUUUAUUUUUCAAGUUGCCAACUCAUCCGCAUGCUCUUUUAUUGAAUUUGAAGAUCGAUGAUGAUAAAUUUGUGUGAAAAUUUUAAGUCAAAGUUUUAAAUUAAAAUAAUCUUUAAAUUAUUGGAAAAUAAUAACUUAGUUGUAAUAAAUAUUAUAUUCUAUACUUUAUUGCUACAAAAUUACGAAACCAUAUAUUAUAUUAUGUUUUCAUAUUUCUCCUCUAUAGUGAAGACUCAUACUUCAACUUUUUAACUAGUACAGUAGACCUUUAAGCUAUAAAUGUUAUAAUGUCCCUCUUCGCUCACAGAUUAAAACAAUCUGUAGCCUUCUCUCAUAUAGAAAAACUUUUUGUAUAAGACAAAUUAUUAUGUUAUAGGAAAAAUUACAGCAGACGUAAGCCAUAUAUGUUAUAAUGUUCAGAAGAUUGAAGUUAAGAAAAUUAAGGAAAGUGUAAGGAUGUAUUUUCAAAGUGAAUUAUUAAGAGAUCUUUGAAGAUUACUUCCGUCAAGAGUUGGGUCCCACACUCUUAAGCUUUUUUCGUCUCAAUCAACUAACAAGACAAAUUAUUAUUGGGUGUGAACAGUCCGGCUUAUUGAUUGUUAAAAAAAUAGCAUUAUUUUGAGCGCACAUGUUGAGUAAGUCUUAUUUAACGAAAGUGAAAAAUAAGGUUCAAAUUUUAUUUUAUUGAUAUUUUAAUAAUAUUUUUUUUUAUUUUUUUAAAAUGGUGUUUAGGUAAAUAAGAAAUUAUUUAUUAAAAUUCAUUUUUAAAGUUAAAAAUUUAAAAAGAAAUGAGGUUUAUCCCACAUGAAAAAAAGAAGCUUAAGAAUUAGUAUUUAUAUAUAAACAUUUAACCAUUCAUAAAUAAGAAUUAUAGGAAUAGAGACUCUUUUCACACAUACGUGCGUAAGGGGUACAAAUUCAAGACGAAUUUAGUUGAACUCGUGUGCACCUGCAUAUCCUGAGAACGCAAAUGUCGGUGAUAAAUUUGUUUUAAAGAUUCUACUCUGUGUAGGCCUCGGUUCCAUUUUAUUUUUUCUGUUUCGGUUUUCAUCUCUCUUCGGUUUUGCUUUCUAUUAUUUCAUUUCAAAUUUCAGUAGUUAUCUUUCGUUGCUUAGCUACUGUUUAAUUUGUUACCUCACCGUUUGUUUUAUCUAACAUUGAUCACCAAAUUUUCAAACUCGUGAUCCUGAUUGAAUCUGCGUUCCCCUUUGCAAAAGUAAUAAAAAAAAGUGCAAAUAAUGAAGACUUUCUCUUUUCACAUUUUUUACGCGUUUCUCUUUUCUCUCCCCCACGUGAACACUUUUGCCUUUUGCUCGUUCACGUGAACGUCAUUUUAGAAUUUUUAUCUUUAUUAAUCAUGACAAUUGACAACAUUACUCCCACAUUUUUUUUAAAAAAAUUGGAUUAUAUAACCCACCAAAAGUAUAAAAAGUAUUUUCUUAUUAAAAUUAAUAAAUUACUCUUUAUAUUAAAAAAUUAAAAUUUAAAAUAAAGAAUGAUUGAUGAUGUUCAUUUAUUAAAAUAAAAAUAAAUUUUAUGAAGUCUAUAUAUUUUUAAAAUUAAAAAAUAAGAACUUAAUUUCGUAUGAACUGUAUUCACUACUUAGUAUUCUUAAAAGUUAACGGAGAAGAAAAAGAAAAAAAAAAGUGUAAAUGAACUGUAUUCACCUAAGUUUCAAACAUGUGGCUCAAUCUGAAUUCGCUUUUUUCAAAAGUAAAUACAAAAGAAAAUAUAAAGAAAAAAAAUUAAACGAGACAAAAAUCUGUGGCGUGGGUCAUUCAUAUCUUUUUCCAUUUCUUUUGUAGAGGUACAUAGGGUAGAUAUUUUGAAGUGAAAAGCAGAGCCUUUACUGUUGUUUGCCUUAUCAUCUUUUAAAAUUGGAGUUAUUAUUCUUUUAUUUUUAAGGAUGGUAGCCAACUCAUCCGUGUUCUCUAUUAUUGAAUUUAAAGAUCAAUGAUUUAUGUUAAUAAAUUUUUUGUUAACUAUCAAAGUUUUUAUUUCAAAAUUACUGCUAUAAUUCAUUAAUUUUUCAAUUUUUCCUUUUUCUAUUCACACAACAGAUUGAUUUGUCCUCCAAAAAAAUGUAAUAGGUCGUUUAAUAUUGUAACAUCAAGAAACUUAUAAUAAAUUUUUAAAGAGAUAAAUAGAGAAUGUCAGUCUCGCAUCUACUCAAAAUUAAUAAAUAUACCACUAACUUCUUAUUAUUUUUAUAAUAACUAAUAACUUUUUUAGCAUUAUAAUUUUAUAGUAUUAUCCUUGUUUGUAAGUACAUUUUUUAUUCAUAUUUUUUAUAAAUUAAUUAAAUCAUAUCAAUAAAAAUUAAAAUAACACAAUAAGUUUUGGAGUGAAUAAAAGAUUGAAAAUAAAAAUAUUUUUCUUAUAUUUUUUGUUAUUUUUAAAUGUUUUUCAUAUAAUAAAUGUACAUUUUAUAUUCUUAAGAUGAAUUUUGAGUAAAUGACUCAUUUACUCAUUUUUUUUCUUUAAAUUUUUGUUACUAGGAGGAUUUUUAGAUAUAAUGAAAAUUGUAAGGUAGUAAGUAAUAUAUAAUAAUUUUAAUAGAGAAAAAUAAAAAAUCUCUUAUUUUAAAAUAUAAGGAGAAAAAUAAUUAAUUUUAAAAAAUUUUAGAAGAUAUUUCAAUAUGCUGUGGAUCACACCCUCGAAUCUUUGUCGUCUUAGUCAAUUAAAAGGACAGAAUAUUGAGUGUGAAGACUCAACUGAUUGUUAAUUUCACAGCAAUUGUCUUUUUUUUAUUCUUUCUUUGUUUUUCCUAAUUAUUUUGAAAUAGUAGGUAGCAAUUGCUUACAUCAAAAUAUCUAAACUCACUCAGCAAAGUAUCCGAGGCCAAAAUGUCAAAACGUGGGACACCCAUACAUCUAAUUACAAAGUCUAAAGUUAAUGAAAAGAAAAAAAGAAAAAGUAUAAAUGAACGGUAAUCACCUCAUUUUCAAACAUCUAAUUCAACAUGAAUUUCUUUUUACGAAAAGUAAAUUUUCUCCCGGAUUGUCCUCAUUACAUUAAACGAAUGAUGACGACGCUCUGUCCGUUUCUGACUCUCUGCUUUGCUCUCUCACAUCACGAGACACCUCGUUUCUAACUGGGGUACCACCAUCAUAUUUAACUGUCGGGUCUUCCUACUAUGCACCUAGUGUAUGCAUGAUUCUUUGUGACAUGACAUAUAGCCAAUUAAAUUCUGACAUGCUUGCAAUAAAGACUGUUAAAGUGACCGGUUAUUCCGGUUGAUUUCACAAGAUCUUUUGUUUGUGUGUUUGUGUUCCAAGUUGUGUACUCUAUGUUACGACUCCUCUGAUUUUUUUUUUUUUAAGUCUGUUAUACAGAGAUAUUACUGACAUUACAUCAAACAUUACAAUUAAUAUUUACAAUCAUACUAUAUAACUGGGACCACCACCAUACAUUGACACACUGAAGUAUAUGCCCAGAUAUUUUAAACCCUCGAAUUAUACACAGAUAUUACUGACAUUACAUCAGAUAUUACAAUUAAUAUUUACAAUCAUACUAUAUAACUGGGACCACCACCAUACAUUGACACACUGAAGUAUAUGCCCAUAUAUUUUAAACCCUCGAAUUAUACACAGAUAUUACUGACAUUACAUCAGACAUUACAAUUAAUAUUUACAAUCAUACUAUAUAACUGGGACCACCACCAUAACAUUACAAUUAAUAUUUACAAUCAUACUAUAUAACUGGGACCACCACCAUACAUUGACACACUGAAGUAUAUGCCCAGAUAUUUUAAACCCUCGAAUUAUACACAGAUAUUACUGACAUUACAUCAGAUAUUACAAUUAAUAUUUACAAUCAUACUAUAUAACUGGGACCACCACCAUACAUUGACACACUGAAGUAUAUGCCCAUAUAUUUUAAACCCUCGAAUUAUACACAGAUAUUACUGACAUUACAUCAGACAUUACAAUUAAUAUUUACAAUCAUACUAUAUAACUGGGACCACCACCAUACAUUGACACACUGAAUAUCAGACAUUACAAUUAAUAUUUACAAUCAUACUAUAUAACUAGGACCACCACCAUACAUUGACACACUGAAGUAUAUGCCCAGAUAUUUUAAACUCUCUCUAAUAUUCGAGGGGUGCCUGCUCCACUCACAUUUCGUAAGGGAGAGACUGUCUCCAUUCAAUUAAUUAAUAAUUGAGGAAGAACUGAAACUAACCUCUAUAAUGCUCUUAUGGAGGCUCGAACCCUUGCACUCAACAUUAUAAGUACAAGGCUUCUCCCAUUGGACCAAAGGCCUAUUGGUAUGAGUUCUCUGAUUAAGUCUGAUAUUAUCUGUUGCUCAAUAAUGUUACAGGUUUUAUAAUAUGACUGGUACGAUCGCUGUCACAAAUUUAGAACGAAAAGUUUCCAAUAAAAUAAGUUAUUUAAUUAAUUAAAUAAGAAUAAAAUGAAUUUGUGAAAAAAAUUUAAAUUUAAUUUUGAAUUAUUUUGACCAAAAUUUAAGUUUUUUUUAAUUUGUUUAAGAAAAUGUGUUGUAAUUGUCUUGUUUUAAUUGGAAAAUCAAUGAAAAAAUUAUGUAACAGACAAAAAAAAAAAAAAAAAAAAGCAAAACGGUUUGUUUUGUAUGGAGGCCAUAGAUUCUAAUAUUUCCUUCACGAAAACUACAAAAAAAUUAUCAAAGGCAUCAAUUUCUACACUCUCACCGAGCAAUACUCUUAACCCAGAAGAAAGUGUAUAAACCAACCCCAAUCAGUCCAUCAAUGUCGUCAACCUCAUACAGCAUAAAAAAAAAUCUGUGUCCAUUAAACCGCCAUUUAAACCGUCUUUAUUGAACCAUUAGACUAUUCGUGUCAUCUUCCCAUCUCGUUGUAGUAUUUUACCUUUCAAAUUUAGUUAUCAAUUCUGGAAAAUGGGACCAAUCUGCAAGUCUUUAAAAUAGAAAGAAACUUUAAUUGGGCACUAUGUUCACGGUAGUGGACCCAGCAGCAUUAAUAUUUAGGGUGGAGCUAUUUAUAUUUUAAACAUUCUAAUUUUAAUAAGAAUAUAUAUUACAAAUGAUCACGACAUUGGGGACCAAUCACGUUGACAAGCAUUUUUUUUAUUUAUUAAUAAAGUGCUCUGAAAAGAGCUAAGGCAAUACUAAACGGGGGUGGUCCCGUUUUUAAUCUAACAUAGAGUCUUAAAAACCUUGUCAGUGGCAAAUGAUCACGACAAGAAAUCUGAAGGAGAAACAGCAGAGCUCAACAAAUCACUAAGAGAAAAUAAGACCAAUAACCAAGCAGAUAAAAGAAAAGCAAAAUAACCCAUCUCAAAAUCACCACAUGCACUAUUUAAGGGGUUUGUGAUAUGGGUUUAAAAAUAAUUUAACAAGUGCCACCUGUGAAUUGUCAGAGAUUGUAUCUUCAUACACAUGUCAAAUUUUCAAGUCCAACAAAUUGUUAUCUUUCUAAAGAGGCUAAUAUUAUUAUUAUCUAUGCAUAGCAUGCUAUAAACAAUUCAUAUUACUAGGGCCUUUGUUUUCUGUACACAACAUAUGGACAGAGGAACAAAUCCCUGAGCUAAAAUCAUCAUAUUCCAAAAUAUUCUAUUAAAUCAACACCACAAAACGCGAACGCUAAACAGAAUUGGAGCAAUUUACCAAAGCUAUUUGUCACGCAAAGCACUAGUACCUCAGAACCCAAUUUGCAAAAAAGCACCAAAAAUGAAAAAUAACAAAUGCCCAGAUGAAAAAUCAGGAAAAAAAAAUGCUCAAAUCCAAAUUACAACCCCAUAAGCUGAGUCGUUCUAUUCGAACUGAAUUAAAAAAAAUUAAUUAGGGAGAUUGACCUCAAACUUUGGAAACAGAAGCGACAUCGAUCUGUUUCUUGUCUGGAGUGUCCAUUUCUAUAAUCUACUUUGUCCGUUUUCAGUUGCUCUGCCACAAAGCUUCUUCCCUCUGAAGCUGAAGCUCACACACACUUGCAAAACGAAAGCAUUUUUUAUUGAUUGAGAGGCGGGAAGGCGGGAAAAUGAGAGAAAUUUGCAUUUGUUUUGUCUUGGUUUGGUCAUACCUGUGCGGGCCCCAGCUUGACAAGCGGUAUUAUUACUAUUUGUAUAAUUUACAUGACGCGUGUCACGCAAUGACGAUAAAAUGUAUAUAUUGUUAAUUUUUCACUUAACAUUGAAUGAUUGAAAUAUCAUAUAAUUUUUCCAAUUUUAUGGUUAUUUUCUCGCCCUUAUGCCACAUUCUUUUGAUCAAAUAAUACAGUAAAACUUUUCUAUAAUCAUAAUAUUAGAGCCAAAUUAACUUUGUUUCUGUAAAGAGGCUAUAGCUUAAUAAAGGUAAAAUUAUAAAAAUUAUUAUUUUGACUCAGUUAUCUUUAGUGCAAGUGAUAUAAAGUACAAAUAUAUGAUAAUUAAUUAAUGAACUAUGUCAAAUACAAUAUGCUGACAAUGAUAAAAAAGAUAGACAUAAUUUCAAGAAACUAAUACAUAUAUUUAUGUAGUGCUGGGAUUAUACAAAAUUAUCUUAAAAGUGUAAAGAGUAAAGUAUUAUUCUAAUUAAUUUAAAAAAAUUAUUUUUUCUUAAUCUUUAAUGCAACAUAGCUUUUUUUUUUUUUUUCUUAGCAACAAAGCAUUGUUCCACAUAAUUAUUAUUGGAUUCAAAUCAUGUCCUAGGCAUUUUUUCUUCUAGUCGUCUUAAACUUUUAAUGAUUUAUUGGCAUGCGUCAAUCAUUAAUGAAAUUAAAUAACUAAGACUUUGUUUUAAUUAACGUUUACAUAAAUAGACAUCAAAACUCACAUGUGAUUCUUAUCAAAUUUUUUCCUGCAAAUUCUUUUCCUCUCAACUAUUCAUAUUUUGACAUUAAUUUCCAGCAAAUUAUUAAAAAAAAGAAGAAGCGUAAAAUGGAGAAAAGUGAUUGACAACAAGGUUUGCAUCUUAAUUUCAAAAAUUUCCUUUCUUUGUUAUUUUUGUGGGUUCUACAAUUGUUGUUUUCACUCUCAGCUGCAGUUCAAUGAACUCUAUUAAUAACCAUGAAGCUUAAUGUAUCAAUUCCAGUACGAGAAGUCCUUCUACGCAUGUUACAACACUUUUUUGUCAUUAUAGGUUGCAAAUGUUCCGUAAUGUACUCAUUCAUAUAACGGAAACGCUAUUAUCAAUAAUGAAAGUUGACUAAGUUUGUAAAUUCUAUUUAACGAAAAAGUAACAUAAAUUUAGUUGAACAAGAGGUAAUUAAUAUGUAAUCUAUGAAACUAGGGUGUGACUAAGUUACAUAGUAAUGUAACUUACAUGAACACAAAAAUAAUUAGUUUUUAAACUACAAGUAAUUUUGGAACUGCUCUUAAAUUGAUAUAAGUUUUAUUAUUAUGUAACUUAGCAAGGUCAGGUAUUUUAAUAAUAGCACAUCACUAUUGUUUCAUGUGAAUGAUGCAAUUGGAUUAGCCAAUACAUACCGUCAUCCCCGGGAGAUGCUAUGGCAAUAGCUUACUCUAUCGUGCCAAUGUCAUUAGUAUUAAUCUGUUGAACCUAAGACCAUAUCUAAGCUGAUCUAGAUUCCCCAAGAUCGCACACCACACAGUGAUUAAUGAAUCAAGAACAAUAAACCAUCAAAGAAUCGCAAACUUACAUGUCGGGUUACAUGUAAUAAAUGUUUUAAUUAUUAGAUGAUUCAUAAUGUUAGACCAUUUUUUGUAUGUUUUGUAAUCUACGUUUGAUAAUUGAAUUAGCUGAUAAACACUUGAAUAAUAUUAUUUUAUUAACUAUGUCAUUGAUCCCCAGGAAAAAAAAAAAAAAACCCAAUUUGGGAUGUUAUACAUUACUUUUUCAUUACUUCCCAUUUUAGAUUAAUAUUUAUCACAUAUAUUCUUAGUAACUUGUAACCCUUUUUGCUAAGGGUGAAAUGUGUUUGUUACCCCUUCUAUUUCUGAGAUUGUCCUUACAAUAAGGAUGCCGGCCCCAAUGUCAAAAACUGCUAUCUCUAGGUGUAAAUUCCUUAUAAAAUUCUUUUUUAAUUGAAAUUACUUAAAUAAUUGAAGAUAAAUUAUUUUUUAUUUCAUUCAAAUAAAAAAAUCAAUUAAACACUUAAAUAAGCUAUCCUUUUAAUUUUUUUUUUUUACACCCAUCCAGUUUCAUAAUUUAUAUUUAUAAUUUAAAUUUUAAUGGAAAAUAUUUUUUUGAAAAAUUUUAAGAAUUAAGAAUUAUGGGGAUAAAAAUUAUGUAAUAAGACCAAAAUAAUUUAAAAUUUUAAAAUUUGCAUGUAUUAUAAACAAAAACUUGAAAGAAAUACUCUUUUCAGGGUGAGAUUUAAUCAGAAAAAGAUUAAUUUUCAUUUAUGGAUCAGUAUUUUAUAAAUUAAACAGAGGUAUUUUAAGAAAUAGAAUUCAAAAGGCAUGGGAACAAGGGCAUGGCAUUGGGUUUCCUUUUGUUUUGUAUGGAUUGGGAAAAAUACACGGACAGACAAAGGGAACAGUCAUUAUAAUGAUGUGGAACUUGUCGGAGAUUCCCUGCCCAUUUGUAGCUUAGACUCCUGGGGUUUUGUUCAUGUCUUUUCUGUAUCCCACUUUCUCAUGCAGCAGAUGUACAUAUGAUGAGAUGAAAACAACAGCAAAAAUUGCUGUCUCAUAAGAGAAAUAGUCAUACAUAGUUGGUUAGGCCUCCAGUCCAUUAACUUAAUAAUCAAUUUUAUGAAAAUUGAUUAUCUCAUUGGAAUUACAUAGAUAUUGGAAAACAUUACUCCAGCCCCACCAUCCCAACCAUUUACUUAGUUCAUCAGUAAAAGCUGGAUUUACCAUUUGUUCUUGAGAUUCAAAUUAAGGCAACAAGUUGCUCAUUCUAUAUUAUCUAUGUAAUCCUGUAAAAGUGAAGGGCGUUUAGAUGUGGAAAAACCUUACCCCUGCCGCAACACCUCAAACAGAUUGUGAUCAGACAAGACUUAGUUCAUCAUUAGUAGUAGUUGGAGCUUCCAUUUGUUCUAGAGAUUUAAAGGCAGCAAGCUGCUUCCUCAGUGCUACUAAUUCUUCCCCGGCAUUGCAUAUGUAGCCUGAGGCUUGUCUACCAG